RNAcentral lists this long non-coding RNA (71339 nucleotides) under Vitis vinifera (wine grape). RNAcentral's name for it is "long non-coding RNA (VVIN_LNC001247)". Lineage: Eukaryota; Viridiplantae; Streptophyta; Magnoliopsida; Vitales; Vitaceae. The record is from RNAcentral.
CUGUCCAUCUGCAAUACUUUCACCACCAUCUGUUUUUGUCUCUCCUGAAUCUGAAUUUGCAUCUUCUGUCUUAGAAUCUCCUUCCCCAUCCCCAGAUUUGUUUUCCCCGUUUUCUGCCUCAUUUGUUGACCCAUCUUCUGGCUUAUUUUCUUCCUCAUUAAUGAGUUUCUCUUCUGGCUUCUCCUGUUUUUCCUCCAGACCAUUUUCCGAUGGUUUCUCAGGAACAGCCGGAUUAUCUUGGGGAUUAGGGUUUUUUUCAUCCUGAGUGAAACUCACACCAUCCCCCUUCUUUGCAUCAUCUGUUAGAUCACCGGAACUAUCCUCAAAUUGCCUAGUAUCACUAUCAUUACUUUCAACCACUUGUUGCUUCACCUCAUCUUUGGUCUCCUGAGUUGAGACAUCUGAAUUUUGAACCGGAACGACAGAUGAGGAUGUCAUCAUCCAAACCCCAACCAAGCAAAGAGCCACAAAAGCAACCAGAGUUGCUGUAGAACAAUAAUUGGUGGUCGAUCUCCUACCAUCGACUCUACUAUAUUUUCCUAAAGCCAUUUUUUACCUCAAUUAUCUCCUCAAAGUUCAAACCUGGAGAUUGAAAAACUAAUCAAAUACAAUAUCAAAUACUAAAUCUUUCUUUCAUCCAAAUAACCAAACAAGGACUCGAUAAGAACACUAAAUUUCAAGCACCUCAAAGCAUAUAACAUUUUUCUUUAAAGUUUUCAUCUAAAGGUGGUGCAAUCUCUCUAUCCAAUGAUAUGCCAAUCAUUUUUUUUCCCCUUUUUAGCUUCAAAUCCCAUUAAUUUCAAAAUUCCUUUUUCCAGUCAUUUUCAUACAUAUAAAUUAGCAAACUUUUAAAAUUAAAUUUGAAAAAUAACCAACAGAAAAUAAAACUAAAUCCAAAACAGAAAAUGUCACAUCCGCUAAUUUCAUUAUCAUGUGUUCCACAUCUUAUAUGGGACAACCCAAAAAAAAGAAAAAAAGAAAAACAAAACAAAACAAAACUUUUCAACAGACUCAAUUCCAAAUAUGAACUAGACAACCAGAUUCAAAAUAAACCACAAAUGAAAGGCUAGAUCACUACAAGGCGGAUCCGAUCAACAAGAAUCAAAAUUGAGAUUUCCUUUUCGUUUUUUUUUUUUUACAAGUGAAGCAACAAAAGCAACAAGCAAUCACUGGUCCAAGCUCAGAGAAAGGGUUCAGAUCUACACCAAAUCUUGGCAACAACACAGAAAAAAACCCAGUUUCAGCUGAAAAUCAAAACCAAAAAAAAUUCAAAAAAAAAAUAAAAUCAGAAACUGCUGUCUUUUGAGAUGAAAUGAACCACGAAAUCACAUCAGAUCUGCAUCUAAUGAACAGAAAAUGAGAGAAUUUGACAAACAGAAAAGGAAAUAAUGGAAAAAAGAGGAGAUGGGAAUGCGUGGAAUUGACGAACCGUGUGAAGAAUUGUGGCGGAUCUGAGAGCGAAAUGCUAGGGAGUGGACAUUGUUGUUGGAGAGGCAGGAGAGAGAGGAUAGGUUUUAUAGAAAAGAACGCAGAGUGGGGGGGAAUUUGUUUAUUGGAAAUUUAUUAUAAUAUUCUUUGUCCUUCCACUCCCCCCAUCUCGCGUAGUCGGCCAUAAGCAAGCCGUGAUUCCAGUGAAAAUUGGACAAGACGCCGUGAAUCCCGAAGCCACAUGGUUAAUUUCCACGCGCCUCUUGUAUCGCAUCCCAUUAUGGAUUCCAAAUUAUUAAUUUUGUGACUUAUUACGCUAGGUUAUAAAAUUCUAAGUCAAAAACUCCUAAAUUUACUCCCAACUCGGGUCUUUCAAACUGCUUGUCUAAUAAAAAACUUUAAUUAGAGGUUAAAAUACCGAAUUGGUGUAAACAAAAACUAAAUCAACCAGAUUUUUCAAAUUAAUAAAAAUCUUUAAAAAAGCUUUAGAGCUUGGGAAAGAGUUUUUUUUACUAAGUAUUCUUGUUCAUCGUUUUAAGUUCGAUCUAAAUUUAUGCAAGAUUGAUCCAUCUAUUUGAUCAUUUUUUUAGUCAUUGGAUUAAGGUUUUCCUUCUUAUUUAAACCCAAAACUAUCAUUUUAUAGCACAUACGUCCAGUGUGCUCUUCUCUAAUUCUUAGAAUGCAUGUGUCUAUUUGCCAAGAAAAUCCAACCCAUUUUGAAAUUCAAAACAAUUUUUAUUGAGUUUUUCUUAAAAUAUGGAUUGAUUCAUUUGGUUCUUUCAUUCAUUCUCUUUUUGAGGUUAUUGGGUUGAGAUAAAACUCAUUUUCUUCUUAUAUGGAUCAAGAAAAUGUCAACAUUGAGUUUGGUGUAAACUCUAAGUAUGAUGUUUCAGGAUAAAAAAGUGGGUAGCUCAAGUGAAAAUGUGUUAGUCAAGUGGUGUAAGAAAAAUUGGUAGACUUGAGUUAAGGAAACCCUUAUAUUAAGUUGCUAUUCUUCAUAGUGAAUGUUUUUUAUUACUUGUAGGUUUGUGGUUUUUUAUUUCUUUGGAGGCUUUCCAUAUUGAAUCUUAGUGUUAUUGUUUUAUUCUCUUUAUCUCCUCCUUAGUUGAUUUUCUCUAUGUUUAUCUUAGCCAUGAAAAUCAUCAUGUUUUAAUGAGUAGAUUUACAAAGAAUUUAAGUUAAAUUUUGAUUUUGAAAUCCUUUAAAUAGUUUGAUAAUUUUUAGCUAUAGACCCUUUAUUUUGUCAUCAUAGCUAUAGACACUGGAUAAGACCUAUGGUGAAUUAUGACGUAAAGAUAUCUAUUUUCAUGAUUCACCAAACUACUAUACUACAUAGAUGUUCAACCUUUAGGGGAUAUUAUGUCUAUACUAGAAUUAACAAGAGAUUUUGAUCUAUGGAUGAAACCCUAAAGUGGUCAUAUAUCCUUAAAGAUUGAGUCAUUGUUGAUGGAGGUUGGUGGCAAUAAGUAUUCUCAAUAGAGACACAUGAUAUCUCAUAGGAUGGAGGCAGUGUGUCUCAUUGGGUGAUCUAAAUAACACGUAAUUAUAAAAUUUGUGGUUGUACUUAUUCCUUUAAUGGAAUUUGACAUAUAUUUCUUUGAGUUGGAAUAUGUUAGUUAAUUAUACAAUAAGUGAAAUUUGUAACUCAAUGAUGUAAAUGGUGAUCUUUAUAGGUGAUAGCACUACUUUGUUAGAUUAUGAACACCAAUUCAUAGGGGGUUUGCAUGUAGUAGAUAGUAGGUCAUGGACUCAGACUUUCUUUCAUUGUUAUUUACAUAGGGUACUAAGGUGAACUGAUUCUCUAUAGUGGGAUGUUGAAUCACUUAAGAAUUAAAUUCUAAGAAAGCCAAUACUUUUAUGGGUCCUAGUGGUCCCCACUUUGAGCUCAUAUACCAUGUUGGCACAGUUUAUGAGGGUUGGAUUAACUUUUGGUUCAUUCUUGUGCAUAAGGACAUCUUAGUAAUUAUACAAUGUUGCACAAGGAAUAGUGAAUAAGGUCUCUUGAAGGAGUAAGCUAUUUAUUACCUAAGCAAAAGGAUACUAAAGUACAAAAUGAGAUACUUCAUGAUUAAGUGCCUAUAUUUAGCACUAAUUUAAGCUACCCGAAGAUUAAGACAUAUGAUGAAGUAUUAUGUACAUCAAUUUCUCACCUAGAUUCGCUAAGAUAUAUGUUUGACAGGCCCACAUUAACCGAUAAACUGAUAAGAUGGUUAGUGUUGUUGAACAAGUUUGAUAUCUAAUAUAUCUUUCAAAAGUUUGUUAAGCAAGAGUAUUGUUGGAUUAAGUCCCUAAAAGUAAGAAAUGAUAUAACAAAGUUAGAAUUGAUUGCCCUUACCUAUCAUUUUUAUGAAUUGACAUUGUUUUGAGCAUUCAACCCAUGACUUUGGUGUAUGAGGAGUUGUGCAAAAGAUACAAGUCAUAAGUUCCUUACAAGAUAAUAAGUAGUUCAUAGUUAGUUCAUGGAUUUGGGUAAUCUAAUGGAGAUUGUAGUGGACUACCUCCUAAUUAGGGGAAUGGUUUGUCUUAACCGUCGAGAUGGGGUUUUCAUGGUUAGUGCACUAGUGUGUAUGGUUACACAUUGGAUAAGACUAAUGAUGAAUCAUUUUGUAACGCUAUUACAUAGUUAUGAUUCAUCAAGUUACUAGAUUACUCUCAACCUUAAGAGGAUAUUGAGUUUGUGCUAAAAUCAACAAGAGGUUUUAACCUAUGGGUGAAACCCUAUUGUGGUCAUAUAUCCAUACAAAUUAGGUCAUUGUGAACAAGUGGCAACAGAUAUUCUCAAUAAAGGCACCAAGAUAUCUUAAAGGAUUAAGACAACAUGUCCCUUAGGUGAUCUUAAGGACAUGUGAUUAUGAAAUCUAUGGUCGUAGUAAUUCUUUUAGUGCAAUUUGACACGUUUUUUUUAGGUAGUAGGAGGAUAUGUAACUCAAUGAUUGAAAAGGUAAUUUAAUGGGUUGAUAGCAGUACCUUUUUCAAUUUCACACCCAUUCACGGAGAGUCUACUUGUAAUAAAUAGUAGGCCACAAACUUGAGUUUUAGUUUGUUUUAAUUUCAUAGGAUAUUAAAGUGUAGUUGACUAUCUUUAGUGGACUAUUGAGACAACUUUAAAAUUGGAUUAUGAGGGAGCCAAUAUUUUUCUAUGGGUCAUAGUGGUCUCUACUUGAGCUCCUAGUUCAUUGUGACACAUGUUGAGUGUAUUUUUUGUAUAUAAUUCAUUAGUGUGCGUAAGGGUGUUUUAAUAAAAACACAAUGUUGUACUAGAUUUUAUGAAUUGACUUUAUGGAAUGGGUUAAUUAAUUGGAUCCUAUGAAUGCUAAUUAAUUAAUUAGGAUCCAAGUUAGUUGGAUUAGAUAACCCAAGUCCAAUUUGAGUUCAAAAAACCUAAGAACUAUGAUUGUCAAAGAUAAAAACUUUUAAUACAAUAACAUAAUUAACUAACAUGCAUAAUAUGAAAAGAAUCAAAGAAACCUAAGAACUACCAUUGCCAAAGAUAAGUGCUUUUAGUUCAAUAACAUAAUUUACUAACAUGCGUAAUAAUAAAAGAAUAAAAAAAAACUAAGAACUACCAUUGCCAAAAAUAAGUGCUUUUAAUCCAAUAACAUAAUUAAUUAACAUGCGUAAUAACAAAAUAAAAAAAACUAAGAACUACCAUUGCCAAAGAUAAGUGCUUUUAAUUCAAUAACAUAAUUAACUAACAUGCAUAAUAACAAGAGAAUCAUAAAAACCUAAGAAUGCUCGUUGCCAAAGACAAAAACUUUUAAUUCAAUAACAUAAUUAACUAACAUGCAUAACAACAAGAAAAUCUAAAAACUUAAGAACUACCAUUUCCAAAGAUGAGAACUUUUAACUCAAUUACUCAAUUAAAUCACAUGGAUCGUAAUAAGAAAAUAUUAAAAAACCUAGAAUACCAUUGCCAAUUUAAUCCAAUAACCUAAUCAACUAACAUGCAUAAUAACAAGAGAAUCUAAAAUACCUAUGAACUACCACUCCCAAAGAUGAAAACUUUUAAUUCAAUAACGCAAUCAACUAACAUGCAUAAUAACAAGAGAAUAAAAUAAAAAAAACCUCCGAACUUCCAUUGCCUAAGAUAAAAAUUUUAAUUCAAUAACUCAAACAACUAACAUGCAUAAUAACAAGAGAAUCAAAAAACCUAAGAACUACCAUUUCUAAAGAUGAAACCUUUAAGAAUAAAAAUAUGAUCAAAACCGAAAGCAAAAACAAAUGAGAAAACUAAUCCUAAAUAUCAAACUUUCAAGAAUCAAUGAUGAAACUUUUAAUAAGAAGCUAUUAUUCAAAUAUCAUGAACUUCAAUGAAGAGAAGAGCAAUCCUAAAUAUCUAGCUAUCAAGAACAAUUAGUAAAACUUUUAACAAUAAAAAUAUAAUCAAGUAUUAAGAACUUAAAUAAUUCAAAGACUAAUUCUAAAUAUUUAACUUUUAAGAAUUAAAGGUGAAACUUUUAACAAUAAGAAUAUAAUAAAAAAUAAUAAAAAUAAAAAAUGAAACAAAUGAGAUGAAUUGAUCCUAAAUUAUUAUCAAGCUAUUUGAAAUGAACUAAAAGAUUUUUCAUGGCUAGAAGGGUUCUAGUCUCAUAUUAAUCUUCCUCAUUCUCAAUAUUAAAUCCAAUGGUUCGAAAGUCAAAACAAACAACAAAAUGAAAUCCAUCAGCAACUAACCUUUUGGGGAUGUAUUUCCAAGCCCGAAGGGGAUCCAACUUCCCAAACUUCUAAUGGUGCUUUCUCUCUAUCUCAAUGCCUGUUGUCUCUCGAUGUUGCAGCCCCCAAUCUCCCUUCUAAAAACGCCUCCUCCGAAAACAUGAACUAGUUUUUUUUCUUUGAAACUUGGACUCUCUACUGAACAAGGACUCGGUUUUCUUUAAAUAGUGACCAAGAUUCCUUUUUAAACAUGGACUCAACUUUCCCAAAAAUACAAACUGAACUUUUUAAACAUGGACCAACCUGUCAAUUCCCAAAAAAAAACAAAGGCUUCCCUUUCUCUCCUUAAAUCCUGUUUUUCUUUCUUUUUUUUUUUUCUUUAAUUAUAAUCUCUCCUUUCUACCUUAAAAAUCACAUUCAUCCUUCCAAAAAGUGUGAUCCAACCUCUAAAAAAUAUCUUCUUUCCUAUGCCGUGAACCACCAAAAUCUUUUUUCCUAUGUCGUGAAUAGGACUCAAUGGCAACUUCAUUCGUUAUGGAGAGUCCUUUCCAUUGGUAGCUUUCCCUGAACAACAUAAAAUAAUUAGACUUAAUAAGUGAAUAAAAAAAUGUUUUAGAAAGUGAUAAAAUAAUAAUAAUAAGAAAAAUAAAAAAGAAUAUAAACAAGAUGGUAAAUAAAAUAAAUAAGUAAUUAAUAAUAAUAAAAAAUGUCAUAUAAGCUAUGUAAGCCAUGCAAGAUAGUAAAUAAAAUAAAUAAGUAAUUAAUAGUAAAAAAAAAUGUCAUGAGAGCGAUGCAAGCCAUGAGACCAAUUAAAAAAAAAAAAAAGUUAAAAGGUAACCUAAGUGGGAUAAGGUGUGCCUAAAUGGGCUUAAAUGUGUUUAAAUGGAUUAGGUGUGUCUAAAUGUGUUUAAGUGUGCUUAGAUGGAUUAGGUGUGUCUAAAUGAGUUAGAGUGUGCAUAAAUGGGCCUAAGUGACCUACAUGGGCCAGAGUAUGCCUAAAUAGGUCAGUGCAUGCCUAGAUGAACAAAGGUGUGUCUAAAUAGGUCAGAACAAGCCUAAAUGGGCUAGAGUGUGUCUAAAUAGGCUAGGGUGUGCCUAAAUGAGCCUAAGUAACCUAAAUGGACCAAAUGUGCCCAAAUGGGUUAGAGUGUGCCCAAAUGGGUUAGAGUGUACCUAAAUGGAUCAGAGUGUGUCUAAAUGGGUUAGGGCAUGCCUAGGUAGGUCAGGAUGUACAUGAAUAUGCCUAAGUAUGUUAUCCUAAAGGUAUACUUGAAGGAGCUAUCCUAAAAAGAAAAAAAAAAUAAUCCUAAAUCUAACUUGAGGUUGCCAAGGAUCACAAUGAGGAGCUAAAUGAGUCUCUCAACCAAAAGCCUCAAAGGUAGCUAAAUAAGGUAAGUUGUAUGAAUAGCAAUAUGUCACUAGGGAAGCUACUGUGGAGUAUUGAAAGAACACCUAAUUGGGCACAUGUUAAAUGAACAAAAUAAAUGAUUUACAUGGUGAUGAACCUAAAUCAAGAUGGGCUCAACAAUGGAGGUUGCUUACUUUCCCAUAACUCUCUCCCACUUAGUCAUUUGAAAUAAAUAAGAGCAUUUUAAAUCAUUAGUAAUUAACUUGAUGAAAAAAUUAUCUACUUUGAAAAUUUUCAAAUUUUUUUUUUCCUAAUUUGAAACCUAGUGUAAUAGGAGAAUGAAUUAUAUUUCUCUUAUGCUAAUCCAAUUAAUAAAUAUUUUAUUUAGGAAACAUUUCAAGUAAAUUUAUUUUUAUCAAAUUACUAAGCCUUUUGGAAAUAACCUUUUAAUAUAAAUAAUCUCUAAUGAAAAUUUUUAUAAUAUUUAUUUUCCAUUAAAUAGUAUGAAAAUCACAACCUUUUAAUAAUUCCUUAAUGGAUAAAAUAUUAUGUAUGAAAAACUUUUAAAAAUGUUUAUCUCCUUAAAAAGGGAUUAAAUAUUAUAUUUUCAAAAGUAUUUUCAAAAUAUUUUAUAUCUCCAUUAAAUUAUUAAAACUUCUAAAAAUACCUUAGCAACCUUUCUCAACGUAAAUUCUCUACAAGAAAAUUUUCAAAUCCAUUAUUUUCCUUUUAAAUUGGGACUCUUGUGUUAAAAAAAUUACUUUCUUAUUUCUUAUAUCUGAACUAACCAAGUAAAAGUAUAAAAGAUAAAUUAUUUUGAGUAUUACUAAAAAAAAAAUAAAUCUAUCACUUUUUAUCUCAAAUUAAGAAACUUUUAACAAUGGUUUAUUUCCCAUACCUUGUGAAAUUUUAGCAUAGCUAAGUAAAUAUAUGGGGCAAACUUGAAGUUUUGCAACCUCAAAGAACAAUAUUUCAAAGGCAGUUAAAUGGAAAAAUUUAACCACAAACACUAAAAUUUCUUCCUUAAUUCAUAUUUCAAGUUCUAAAUUUUGUUGGUUGAUCCUUGUUAUUACAUUUAAACUAUGAUUAGCUGUUGGGGCAUGACAUACGGUCUUUCCAUGAAUGUUUUCUAUUGGUUUGUAUUUUCAUUACGACAGACUAUAUAAUUAAAAUUAAAUAAAAUUAUAUAUUUUAAAUUUAUUUAAUUUUUAUUUUAAAAUAGAGUAAUUCAUUAAUGGAGUUUAAAAAAAUAUAUAAAAAUAAUUUAUUAAUUUUAAAUUUAUUUUUUAUUUUUAUUCUUUUAUAUCUAAUUUCUUUUUCUUAUAUUUGUCCAAUUUUCCAGUACUCAAAGUUGGGAAAGUAAAAGGGAGAAGGCUGGGAAAGUGUGGGGUGUGGGGUGUAGAAGCAAACCCCUACGUUUCCAAUUUCAAAAUCCACCGCGAAGCGGGAAAAGAACAUUAAUCUAUAAUGAUGAUUGUUUCUGAUGAAAAUUUAGAGAAAGGGUAGCUUAGUAAACAGCGAAAGGGAAAGGCAAAAGAAAUUGGAUAGGAAGAAAAAGGUUUGAAAAUGGCGGAGAAGAAGAAAGCAAUGAGUCUGAACGAGCGUCACAACCGUCUCCUCCAAGACCUAUCUGCUCAGGCAUCAAAGCACAAGCCAGAACAACAACCCUCCGCUCAAAACCACGCCCUUCUUUCAUUCUCAACCAUCUCUGAAUUUCAUUCUCCUCCAGGUCUCUCUCUAUCUACUUUACCUUUUCCCACCAUUUUUACCCCAAAAUCUAAGUCGAUGUCUAUAUCUCUUCCGCUUGAUUUUCUCUCUCAUUUCAAUUUUCCUGGAAAAUGAAAAUUAAAUCAAUCGCUAUCUUUUUUUUUCUACUGCUUCUUGUUGUGUCUCAUUUUCUGGAAAACCUAAAUUAAUCUCCGUUUUUUAAUUUUUUAAUUUUAUUUUAUUGUACUAAUUGAAAUAAUGGAUGGUGGAUUAGACGAAGCAAAAGAAGAAGAAAAGCCAGUCAAAGUAAAGCUCCAAGGUAGACGCCGACUCUGCAAACUUUCAUCGAAUGACGAUGAUGAAAAUACCAAAACUGGAGAUGGAUUUUACGAACCGAAAUUUUCUGAAAUUUCCGAUUUCGAUUCGCCUCAUCAUUGCAGCAAUGCUGGUGGAAAUGAAAUUAGGGGUAUUCUCAAUGACUUGAGCUCGAGGCUUGAAUCUCUGUCCAUAGAAACAAAGAGAAAUCCUAAAAGGGCUGAUCAGACUCGGGAAUCUUUAAAUUUUGCUGCUGCUGAUGUGGCUAUCAAUCAAGAAAAGAAACUUGAUGUGCCCGAGUAUGCAAGCGCAUCUUCCUCAUUUUCUGUUACUUCUGAUGGGGCUGAUUCUUCGCCAGAUGCAGCCUGGGUUGGAGAUGGUGUUGACAAUGUAGUGGAUGAUCAUGAAGCGGGGAGUGAGGUUGGAAGCGUGCAUGAUGUUGAUAACUUCAUCAGUAGGGUACAUGGAAAUAGGCACAACGGUGAAGCGGCAAACUCCAGAAGGGUGAAUGUGAACUCUGUGCCUAUGGGGCAAUCUUCCGUUUGUGAUUUCGAAGAAGAAGAAGAAGAUGGUAAUAGCGAUGAUUGUGUAAUUUUGAGUGGCAAAAAAGUUGUUGAAGCAGCGGUCAGCCGAGGGAGCAAGUUUAAGGAAGAGUAUGAUGAUUCAGAUGUGGUUGAUGUAUUGGAUGAUUGUACUGAUGGUUCCGUUUUGGAGGAUGAGAGUGCCAUCACUUUGAGUGGUCCUAGAUCUACCUAUAAGUUGCCUGGUAAAAUUGCAAAAAUGUUAUAUCCACAUCAACGUGAUGGGUUGAAGUGGCUAUGGUCUCUACAUUGUCAGGGUAAGGGCGGGAUCUUAGGUGAUGACAUGGGUCUAGGAAAAACAAUGCAGGUAGACGGUUGACUAUAUUUUUUUGUUUUUUUUUUUCUUAUGUGUUUUACUGAUGUUUGUUGUCAUGGUCAAUUGGUUUUGACUUGUACUUUUUGCAGAUUUGUGGGUUUUUAGCUGGAUUAUUUCAUUCCUGUUUGCUUCGGAGGGCAGUGGUUGUGGCCCCCAAAACAUUACUGUCUCAUUGGAUCAAGGAGUUAUCAGCUGUGGGGCUUUCUGAGAAGACAAGAGAGUGAGGCUGUUUUGUUUUGGAUCUUUGGAUCAUUCCGAUAGAGCAUUACACCUAUUAUUUUUGUAUGAUUACAGACAUUGCUUGUCCUGCCAUGCAGAUACUAUGGGACUUGUACAAAAACACGGCAAUAUGAACUGCAGUAUGUACUUCAGGUUGUAUAAAUUUGUGUUACUGCUUAUUCUAUGAAACUCUGAAUAAUCCAAAACUAUUGUGCAUGGUACUGCCAGACAUAUGAUGAAAUAAAGUGCUUACUGUGUUUAUGUCUGUGUCCAGACAUUUUUUUUGAUUGAACUUCGAUUGAUGUGGACACUGGAAUUGAAUCAAUUCAUGGAAGUUUAAAAUUAAAAGACCUAAAUUUGACUCUAUAGGGUGUUAAAUUGAUUCAAAUUUGGAUUUGGAUUCAACUUCUGACACAUUGGAGAUUGAAUUGAUUUAGUGGAGUUCUUUGUGAGUUUGAAACCAUAACAUGCAUCCCAUAUUACAUGCCAAUUGCAUCCUAUAUUCCACAUCAUGUUAAAAUUCUGUAUUUGCCAUUUCUUGUCUCCCUUGUAGGAUAAAGGGGUGCUUCUCACAACUUAUGAUAUUGUGCGGAACAAUUCAAAAUCGUUAUGUGGGGGCAACUACUUUCAUGAUAAGAGAAGUGAGGAUGAUUUCACCUGGGAUUAUAUGAUACUUGAUGAGGUAGAUUUAGUAUUUUAUUUGUGGUUCAAUUAUUCAAAUACUUUGAUUUACUUUAUACAAUGUUAGCACUUUUCUAGAGUUUGGCAUUCUUUUGAACCUAAGGAUCCUCUCAUUUUCCCCUUUUCACCCAUAUUUAUAGGAUUGUUAAACAUGUUAUAUCAUAUGGUUGUUAUACCCAUCUUCUUCUUGUUAUUUUUGUGCGUAUAUGUUGAUUUAUAUGAUUUUUUUUUUUGCUUUUUACAAUAUGCAUUUGGUCUAUGGUUUCUUGGUUGGUACAACUCAAGGUUAAAUUUUUGAGGAAUAACAUUGGUCGGUUGAGUUUUGGAUUUAUAUCAUGAGUUUAUUGGGUUGGAGCUGUUUAAGUAAUAUGGAUUAGGAAAUAAAGGUAUACAUGCAUCUAUAUUUUGAUAUAUUUGAUUUCCUUAGUUCCUUCCAAACGUGUGUGUACUUUUCAUGAAUUAUUGGGUUAGAGCCUUCAAGUUAUUAGAAUUAGGAAAUAAACCUUUACAUGUCUAAAUUUGAUGUAUUUGGUUUCUUUAGAUCCUUUCAAUUGUGUGUAAGGUGCUACUAGGUUCUUCCAUCACAUAAAACUUAUGAACUUUUGGAAAUAAAAUCAGCUUUGUGUUGGACUAGGGCAGUAAUGGUUUUUGAGAUGAUUAAUUCUUUUUGAAUUUUGAUUUUGAGUCAUUGUAAAGUAGUCAAAAUUCCAUAAAGUUUUAAGCUUAUUUUUUUUAAACAAAAAUCCUUUUCUAGGAGUAGACUUUAAGUAUCUAAGAAUCCCUUGAACAACAUCCAUGUGGCAUUCCCUUGGUGAAUGCAUAAAUUAGCUCACCACACUUACUGCAUAUGCUAUAUUGGGUCUAGUAUGCGACAAAUAAAUCAACUUUCCCACUAGCCUCUUGUAUUUCUCUUUAUCAACUAGACUUUCAUCAAGACCAGAUCCUAAUUUAUGAUUAGGAUCAAUGGGAGUAUUUGCAGGUUUACAACCUAUUGUCCAAGCCUCUUUAAGCAAAUCCAACACAUAUUUCCUUUGAGAGAUGGCUAUACCAUGUUUUGAUCUUGCUACCUUAAUUCUAAGAAAAUAUCUCAAAUUUCCCAAGUCCUUUAUUGUAAGCUCCUUUGCUAGAAGAUCUUUCACAGUUUUAAUUUGUUCUACAUUAUCACAUGUAACAAUGAUAUCAUCUAUAUAGACAAUAAGACUAGUGAUUUUCUUGAGUGUUGAGUGUUGAGUGUUUAAUGAAUAAAGUAUGAUCCCCUUGACUUUGACUAAAGCCAUAUGUUUUCAAGAAUUUUGCGAAUCUCUCAAACUAUGCUCUAGGUGAUUGUUUGAGCUCAUAUAAAGACUUCUUUAACUUACACACCUUAUCAUUAGACAAAUUCUCAAAUCCUGAUGGAAGGUCCAUGUAUAUUUCUUUCUUUAAAUUCUCAUGCAAAAAAGCAUUUUUCACAUCAAAUUGGUGAAGAGACUAAUCUAGAUUAACAACUAGAGAUAAAUGGAUUCUAAUAGAAUUCAUUUUUUCCAUAGGAGCGAAAGUCUCUUGAUAGUCAAUUCCAAGAGUUUGUGUAUAACCUUUAGCUACCAUUCUAGCUUUGUGCCUCUCUAUUGAACCAUAUGCCUUGUAUUUAAUGGUAAAUACCCAUUUGAAGCCAACUGUUUUUUUUUUUUCCACUCGGCAACUCUAUCACUUCCCAAGUCCCAUUCUUAUGUAAGGUUCUCAUCUCCUCAAAUAUAGCUUCCCUCCAUUUAGGGUCUUUUAGAGCUUCUUGUAUAUUGUUGGGGAUAGAUUCUGUGAUCAAAUUAGUGGUGAAGGCUUUGUAGCUAGGACUAAGUUGAUGAUAAAAUACAAAAUUAGACAAAGGGUGUUUAGUACAACCCCUUUCCUAAUUGCAAUUGGAAUAUCUAAGUUAGAUUCAAAGAAAGAACUUGAAGGAGGCAAGGGAUGUGCAGUACCUGUUUCUGGAGUUGAAGAUUGACUGUGAGAGAGAGAGAUAGUAUCUAUCACGUUAUCUUGUUUCCUUCUAGAGUACACCAAUGGUGUCUCUCUAGUUUCAAUGUUAUUCUCCCCCACUGUCAUUUUUUUUUCCAGUUUUUGGAUAUAAUGAGCCAGACCCUAAGGUUGACUCAAGUUGUUGUUGUUGCUGCUGCCCAUUUUCAUUUCCUUCAUUUUGUUGCUAUUCCAACUCAUUGCUGGCUUAUCUUUGGUUGUUGGGUUGGUCAAAUUUGAGAAGGGAAAGGUCAUUUAUAGUUGGAUAUACAAAUGAAGAGGGUUGACACAAGGAAUAGGGCAAAUCUUCAACUCUAAUUUUCUCCCCUUGAAGAUCCGUCCUAGGAUAGUAUGAGAGAUCUUCAAAAAAUUUGACAUCCACAGUCAUCAUUUUGUUUUUGUUGGAUGGAAACACUUGUACCCUUUUUGUGUGGGAGAGUAGCCUAAGAAUGUACAUUUAAGAGCUCUAGGAUCAAGUUCAGACCUUUCCCUACUAUGAAUAUGAACAAAGGCAACAAACCCAAAUAUUUUAAGAGGAAGAUAAUCAAAGACAUUAACACUUAGAAAAUGACAUUUAAGAACAUCAAUAGGAUUUUUCAUAUCUAUGGCUUUGGAUGGUGUACGAUUAAUAAGAUUGGUAGCAGUUAGCACAACAUUAGUGAAGUAAAUUUUGGGUACAUUUCUUGUGAACAUCAAAGCUCUAGCUACCUCAAGUAGAUGCUUAUUUUUCCUCUCAACCACUCCAUUUUGCUAGGGUAUUUCAUUCCAAGAAGAAUGAUGCAAAAUCCCAUUUUCAAGAAGAUAUGAACCUCGAAUGGUAUUGAAAUACUCUUUGCCAUACCUAUGAUGUAGUAGCCAAAUUUCCUUUUCUUUAUUAUCAACAAUCUUUGAAAGAUGAACCUAUGUGGUUUUCUUGGCUUUGGGAGUCAAGUCAUAAAACCCUUCUCUCUCUUCAGCACUGCCAAUCUUCUUCCUCGUAGCUAGGUCUUGAAAAAUGCAAUGAACAUGACAAUUAAGGGACUUGGUCACCUUGCUAAUGGACAAUAAAUUGCAAGCAAUUUUAGGUACAUGAAGAACAAAGUUUAAAUGCAAUGAAGGAGAAACAGAAACUGAACCUUUGCCAUUAAUGUGGAUAGAAGAUCCAUUUGCAAUAGUGACUUUACCUUUUUCUAGGCAUGGAUUGUAGGUUAGAAAAUGAUGUGCUUCAUUAGUCAUGUGAUUUGAAGCCCCUAAAUCAAUGAUCUAGGGUUUAGAUGGAGAUUUUUCAAGAAUAUUCAGGGUUGCAUGGAUAUUACCUGAUUAUGCAGAGAGAGGAUGAGUUGGUGGAAUUCCCAACAUGUCCCAUCAUCUUAUACAAGAGCUCUAAUUGAUCCUUAGUGAAAGGAGCCUUCUCCAAGGAUUGAGUAGCACUUUUUGGUCUGAAUUCACAAUAACAACACUCUAAUAAGCCUUUUGUUUCCUUUAUUACCAAUUGAUGGCUUUCCAUUCAACUUCCAACAUGUUUUUUUCGUGUGUCUUGGUUUAUGGCAAUAAUCACACUAUCUAUUAUCUUUUUCUCUAAACCUUUUUUGCCAUGGCCCAUAGGACCAAUAUGGGUAUUGUCCUGAGCAACUUUAAGGGUAGAAUUCUCUUGAGAACCUGGUACUAACACGUCACUUCUCCUACUUUCUUCACUAUGUACAUAAGAAUAAACUUCACUUAAGCAUGGAAGGGGUUCUUUUCCAAGUACUCUACUUCUUACCUCAUCCAAUUCAGGCUUAAGACCAGCAAGAAAGUCAAAGACUCGAUCUUGUUGAAAGAGCUUAACCAACAUUGAUGCAUCUGCUGUAGAUUCCAUCUCAAAGUGUUGAUGAAGAUCCAACUCUUGCCACAAGAUUUUCAGGGUGUUGUGGUAGGUUGUUACAGUGAGAUUUUUUUGCUUUGUGUUGUGAAUCAUAGUCUUUAACUCAUAAAUCCGAGUAGUGUUUCCUUUCUUUGAAUAGGUUUGCUAGACAUCAUCCCAAACUUCUUUGGCUGAGGAGAGAUAUAAGAAUGGUUUUCCAAUUUUUGGUAACAUAGAAUUCAAAAACUAUAACAUAAUCAUGGAAUUCUUAGCUUCCUAUGGUUCAUAAGAUAAAUUAGACUUCUUUGGAUCCUUAAUGGUACUUUGUAAAUAUUUUAUCUUUCCUUGUGAGAAAAAGUUUUGUUGAUUGGGACAACUCAAAGAAAUUUUCUCCGUUCAAUUUUUUUGUUGCAAUCUCCAAUGUCGGAUUGUCUAGAUUGGCGAUAGCUUUAGUUUGAGAUGAAGAGACAUCAGUAAGGGUAUUUUCAAGGAUUUUUGACAUGGUCAAGGUAGAUAAUAGACAAAAAAGAUAUGAAAAACAUGUAGCAACGAAGGCUAAAAACAAAAAGUUUAAUCUUGGCAAUGAGAGCCAAGAAAAAAGAUUUUUUUCUUCAAAGAGAGAAUUAUCAAUCUUUUAGGUUUUGAUUCCAUGAAAAUGAAAAUAAAAUUUAUGAAAUUAUUUGUAUUCUAAAAUAUAAAGAGAUUAUAAGGAAAUAUAUAAACAAGUUGUACAAAAAAAGUUAGGAAACUAAAUCAAAUCCUAAAAAUAUACCAUCCCUAAAAUUACUCUAAAAUCUAAAACUUGCCUAAAGUACAUAAUAUAAUAAAUAAAUAAAAAAUAAAAUAAAAUCUACAAAAUCAACCACAUAUUCUAACUGGAACAUAUUUAAAUAUAAGAAAAAUAAAAGAAGUUUUAGCAAAAGUUGUUAACAUGACCAAGUUGUAGCUCCAAUGGGAUGGUUUAAACUAGAGAGAUUGUUUGUUUUUACAUUGUAGAUUCUUGUUUUUGUAUUCUUGUAGUUUAGCUUUUCUUUGGUGGGAGGAUUCCUCAUCCUUCUCUUGUACUUCUUUUUUCUAUCAAUAUAUCUAUUUGUUGUUUUCUAUCAAAAAAAAAAAAAAAAAGACCAAGUUGUAAGAUAAGAAUGAUUAGCCUAUUAUAAAAUUCAAAUAAGAUUAUCCAAAUGGUGCAACAUUGCAGAUGGUCCUAUUUGAAAGCCAUAAAAAAUGACUUCUUAAUGUUCCAUUUCUUUUGGGCAUUUUUACUUCUCCCUUAGGUUUCUCUAUUUUUGUUGUUUGGUGCUCAUGCAUGCCAUCCAAGGUUGGUUUUUGCAUGGAAGUGGUUUGAAAAAAGAUUUAUCCUCAGAAUAGUUGGGAUGUAGUGGUUCCAAUUUUAUGAAUUAUACAGGAAGGUGGGGUUAUCUUGUAUUCUACCUUGGUUUACUAAGUGUUCUUUGUUGUUGUAGUGAGGUAGUUAGAGAAGGAAAGUUCGAAAAAAUGUUUAGUUUUUGGUUUUUUUACUUGUUUGUUUUCUUUUUCUUUUUUUGGGUUUUUUUAGUGUAUUUUGAAGGAGAGAAAUCAAAGUCUUUCAAGAAGUGAUUAAGUUCUCCAUGGUGCAACACUAUGAUUUUUCCUAAGGUCUUAAAGCUUUUUUAGGAUAGCUUCCUAUUUUUGGCUUUAGUUGGAAAUUGAAACUGAGACUAAAAUCAUAAUUUUUAAAGGGUAAUAUUGGUAUUGUAAAUGUUUUAUUUAACAUAAAAGAACUUCUUUCAUAAAUCAAAUUGAAGCUUUUACAAGAAGCAACAUUUUCCCUAAUUUCCAUAUUAAAUUUCUUUUUAAAGCCAUAAGCUCUUUGAACAAAAUUAGCCAAACAAGCAUAAAAGCUCUUAUUGAGCUUAAAAAAAAGAGUUGUUGACUUCUCGAAAGUUAAUCCAAAUAGGGCCUUAGUUCAUUUAGAUUGUGGUUACUAUUUGUAAAGAAGAAUUCUAUUCUUGAUUAUGUGGAUGUAGGUUGGUUUUGUUGCAUUUUUUUCUUUAUUUUAUCUUCUUGUUAGCUUAUUUGGUUGGUUGGAUUAGUCUCAUUUGCCAUUUUGAGAUGCAUGUACAUUACCCAUUGAAAAAGAGAAAAGAAGGAUCAUCCAUAUGAGGCUCAUGCUCAGAAGUGCAGAAUAGAUGCCAUUAACAGAUAUUGGCUUAUGAAGGGUACUCCUAGAAGACUACAAAUUAUCCAAGCUAGAAUGCAUUUUGUAUAACUACUUGCCUAAGACAAGUUUGAUACAUCUUUUAGCUCCUUAAUGUCUAAGUCUUCUAGUGUUUAGUAUUGUAAUUUUUUAGUUCGGCUAAACAAACAACCCUCCCUUAGUUUUACAUUGAAGUUAUGCUUAGUAAAAUAUUAUUUGCCUUCCUUUUUUCUGAAAGUGUAAACUGAUGAUUAAGUUGAAGUACUAAUUCCUCUUUAACAUCAUUAGAUGUCUAACACUCUGAACUUCAAGUAAUCAUUGCUUUGGUCUAUUAGAAGCUUUUGCAAUGUAUGUAGUCUUGAAAUGCUCCCAAAAACCUUCAAAAUUAGCUUAAGGUUUUGUAAAUCUUCCAUGUUGGCCUUUGAAAAGAAGAUGGUGUCAUCUGCAAACCGCAAGUGUGACACCUUAGUUCUGCUUCUCCCUACUAGGAGCCCUUCUAAAAGACUACUCUCCUUUGCUCUCAACAUCAACCUACUUAAGAUAUCAACUAUAACAAUGAAGAGAAAAAGUGGAUAGAGGAUUUCCUUGUCUAAGACCUUUCUUUGUUUUAAUUUAUCCUUUGACACUACCAUUCACUAAGACUACAAAAUUUAUUGAAGAUAGGCAUCCUCUCAUCAACUUAUUCACAUUCACCACCUAGUACUAAACCCUUUCCUUUCUAGAGCUUGAUAAAAAAAAUCCUAGUCCAUAUGAUCAUAAGCCUUUCCAAGAUCAAUCUUAAAAACCACUCUCUCUUCUCUCGGUUGUCUCUUUUCAUCCACCUUUUUGUUGGAGCAAAGCUUUAGUUUAUAAAGAGUAGACUAUCUUCCAAUGUAUAUUUCCCAUGACAAUAUGUUAAGGUAUAGGCCUUGUUUUGUAUUUUGGAAAAUUUAUCUACUUGCUCUGUUUGACCAGAUUUUUGUAUACUUGGGAAGGAUUCCUCAUUCUUCACAUGCAUUUUCAAUUCUUUAUCAAUGAAUUGUAAGAAAGAUAGAUCAAACCAAAUGGUACAAAACCUAUUCUUCCAUGGUUUUGUUUUUCUCUAUUUUAUGCUUCUUGAAAAAUUAUGUUGAAAAAAAACAGCUUUUAAAAGUCAUUAUCUUUUUAAGGUAAGACUCAAAGAGUGUUAUAUUUUAUAUUAAAGUUCCUAUCAUUUUUUGUUUUUAAAAACAAAAAAUAAGAAGUGUAUCCAAAUGAGCGUACCAAAUGCUUUCCUUUUUUCUUGCAAUUUAAGUAUAUGCAUGUAUGUAUAUAGACACGUAUACAUAGGUAUGUGUGUGUGUAUAUAUAUAUAUAUGUAUGUUUUACAAACAAGAAAUCGAAAUAGCAGUGCAAGCAAAUGAGCUUUAGUUAUUUUGUGUUGUCAUCAUUACACCAUUUUAUUCAUGCUUGCUUUUUUCAAAUAAAUAAAUGUACUAAAUUGCUUAAAUGGACAACAUUUAAUAAGUUUUAGUUUCUAUUCUAUUUUGCACAUUUUCAUUUUAUACAAAAUCUUGCUUUACUUGUACAUAAGGGAAACUUUAUUUUGUAAAUAUUUACUUUUUAAUCCAUUUAUCUAUUUUUAUUUGUAGGGACAUCUCAUAAAGAAUCCCAGUACACAAAGGGCUAAAAGUUUGAUGGAAAUACCUUGUGCUCAUCGUAUUGUUGUUAGUGGCACACCAAUACAAAACAAUCUUAAGGUAAUGUCUUCACUAGUUAUAAUGUGUACAUAUACAUUUUUUUUUGCACUUCAGUUUAGUAAUAGAUUCUAUGAUGUUAGAGCAUAAGAAGAUAACUUUACAUAUCUAAUGUUGUAUACUUAUUUUUGGUUGUGGUUAUUAUAACAUAGGAAUUAUGGGCGUUAUUUAGCUUUUGUUGCCCCGAGCUUUUGGGUGACAAGAAUUGGUAAUUAUAUUUAUAAUUAUCUUGCUUUUACUGUUUUUUUUUUUUCUCAAUUUUGUGCUUCUUGGGAGAUAAAGCUUUGGAAUUUUUUUUUUCCUAGGUUUAAGGUCAAAUAUGAGUCUCCCAUUCUUCGUGGAAAUGACAAAAAUGCUUCUGAUAGGGAAAAACAUAUUAGUUCAAGAGUUGCAAAGGUAAUGCUUUCUUGUACAUUUAAAUGUGCUUUAUGUUUUGUGAUUUAGAAGUUUAUUUUUUCCUUUUAUUUCUCUUUGGAUAUAUCGUUUAUAUUGUUCAUACUUUUGAGUCUUUCUAUUUUCUUUUUUAGUUAGUUGAAAUGCAAUAGUAAAGAUUCUAUGAGAAAUAAGCAUAUUUUUUAGCAUAUGUGAUUAUUGUAGUUCUUUUUCAGUCAAUCACUUAAUCAAACUUGAGCAACAUAUCUUAGAGGAUGCUCCAUAUUCAUGUUUUUGUUUUGCUCAUAAUACAACAAACAUAAAGCCAACCAGUAAUUACCAUAAUAGGUAGUAGGGGCUAAUAGAAUUUAGGGUAGCCAUGGAGAAAAGGUUUCAAAAUUGUCAACACCAAAUGUUUGAAAGUACACUUCUAUUGUUAGAUGAGCUUUCAACCUCUCAAUUAUGCCAUUAGAAUGACAUAGUUGCAUGCACCUAAUGACAGCUAACCUAUUUUCCUAGAUGUAUAUGGUUUAAUUCUAGGUAGCAUUCCUGUGCCAUGUGGUAAUUUCCUUAUCCAUUGCAUUUCCCAAACUCAUGAUAAGACAAAAGCUGAAGAAUGGAAAUACUAAACAAAUGGUAAUGACAAGAGAAAAAGAGGAUGUUGAGCAUAUGGUUUAAUGCUUUAAUGAAGAAUUACAAGUGGAUGAUUGAUGAAGCACUAAUACUACUUAUGUGAAAGAUAUCUUGAGGUCUCCUUUGAUAUACUUAAAGUGGUUCCAAUGUUGAUGUUAUUGAACAAAUAGUGGAAAUAUUUAACGAAUUAACAAGGACGAGCAUUGUAUAAGUGAUUGAGAAGCUAGCAUAGAACUUUUUUUUAUUAUGAUGUUAACAUCUAAUGAGUGACCUUGAGAAGAAAAGAAUGAUGCUCUUUUAAAGAAAAUGAAACAGAACUCACAAAAUAGCAACAUUGUGGAGGAUCCCAACAUUUUUGACCCUUUUGUUUUCAAGAAUAACGCAAAAAAAAAAAAAAAAAAAAAAAAAAAAGAAAAAAAAAAAAGAAGAAAAAAAAGAGCUAAAUGGCUUAAGGAUUUGGUUUGAAAUGUAUAGUAUGGGAUUUUGCGGAAAACAAUCACAUCCUUAAAUAAGAGGAGGCAACUUAAAUAAAGGUUUGUGAAAGUAAAGCAUUGUAAGGAGUACGCCUUUUUAAAAUCGAGAUGACCUAUGUUUAAUCAAAAGUAACAUCUUAGUAGGGUGUUAUCCACUAGGAUUCUCUAGGAAUAUUCGUAUAUAAUAUUAAAGUUCUAAUAUUUAUUAGAAUUUUAAAAGGAACCUUAGUUUGCUUUGAUUUGCCUCUUUAAUGGCCCAAUUUAUACUUUUAGUUUUGGGAGCUCCACCACUUGACUUUGUGUCAAUUUCUUUAUGGGGUUUUGGUUUAGUUAGGUUAGGUUUUGUUUGUUUGCUUCCUCUCUUUUUUAUUUCCCUUUCAAUCGGUUCAUCUUUCCUAUCCACCUAUCAAAUGUUUGUUUUGUUUUGUUCUAAUAAUCUAUAUGGGUAAUAUGCUUAUAAUUUUUAUCUGAACUUCUAUCAUCUUACCUAAACAUUCUUAUAAAAAUUCAUUUUUAACUAACUCUUCUUUUUCUUUAAUGUAAUUGUUGCUAAGAGAGUUGAAAGAAUAAAAGGAUAUCAAUAAAAAAAAUCAAACAGCCACACCCAAAGUAAAAUAAGAGUGUCUAACAAGGAUCCCAUACCCACAUCCAGGUCAUAUCUUGUUUGACACACGUACGGUGGAUGAAAUUGAAGAAUUUGAGUAUCAUAAGCCUCAUAAAUGGUUUUCUAGGCCUAAAUUACUUUCAUUUUCUUUUGUUAGUCAACCAAUUUUCCUAAAAGCUUAAGUUUGUAGGAUUUGGGCCCACAAUGUAUAUCAUGUAUUCUAACCCCCUUCCUCACAUGUAGCCUCCUUUGGGCUUACACCUAAGGUUUAAUAAAUUGAGGAAAUAAAGUGUCUUUUAGAUUUAAUAAAUUGAGGAAAUAAACAUAUGGUAAGGUUUGAUACAUGACCAACCACCAAAUGAGACUUAGAUAUCAUUCUAGACAACCAAUUUACCUAAAAAAUUAAACUUGUAGGAUUUGAGCUUAUAGUGUAUAUCAUGCACUUUAACAUCUUUCAAAUAGUAGACUAAUUAGUUCAUGCUUUAAAUCUUGACCUUUUGCUUCUAAAGCAUUGGGAGCUAGAUUAUUUGAACUAUAAGGUGGUUCAAUACCUUUUCUUGCUAUCUUUUGAAUUACUCUUCGUCCUCUAGUUUUAAUUAAAGUACACCUAACAUCCAUGUAUUCUUUAGUGAUCCUAUAAUGCUUACUCGAGGUCUCUUUGAAGAUUGUAUAUUGUAGCAUUCCAAUCUCGUGUAAAAUUGAAAACAAAAUCACCUCAAACAUUCAUGAUAUCAAUUAUUAAAAUGAUCUUGAUCCUUAACUGACCUUCACCAAACUUGAAUGCAAAUAUGAGAAUAUCAUUGUAAUUGAUCUUACCUUAAAUUGCUCAAAUUGUAAGCUAAUGCUUACAAUGUAAAUAGUCAUGGAAUUGCCAACAUAUAAUCCAUGUGAUUGCAUUUUCCUUUUUUCACAAUUUUAUGACAACAUAUAUCAUGAAAUGAUUUACAAGGACAAAUGCAAUUUUUUUUGUUCUCCUCAUUAAAAGCCUUUUUAGGAUCCACUCUAUCGUUCACAUUUGAUGGAUUUAAUUGAUUUAAAAUCAAACCCUUUAGCACUAAGUUUUCUAACACCAUAAUCUAUAAACAAAUGCUUAAAAGAAGCAUCAUGCUUUCUUUAUAUUGGUCUCCUUGAAUCUUGUAAUCGUUUAAAAUUCCUUCAAAGUAUGCUCUUCUUGAACCUAGUUAAAUGAUGGAGUAGGGCUUUGGAAGUUGCUUUUCUUGUCUAUACAAUAUAGUGUUAGCCAUAGUCAAGGAUGAUGUCAACAAUUUAUAACUAUGACAUCUUCUAGAGUUUGAUACAAUGUUUUAUAAGGCUAAAGGUCGUCUUGCCCAAAUGAGGCGAAGCGUAAGCCUCGAGGUGGAACAAGAUGUAAGUCUCAACUUUAAUAAUAAUAAAAAGAAAACGAUCUUAAAAAUUAGAAAAAUACUAAUGAAAUCACAUGAAAAUUAAAUAAUAAGAAACCAUAUAAUGUAUAAUAAUCAAAUUAAUUGUAUGUCGUUUUUAGUAACUUCUAAUUUAGUGUUUUUUUUUUGUCUCUUCUAAAAUCCAACUCUAAUGCAUUUAUCAAAUAAUCUUCAAAACUCCCAUCACUCCAUCAUUAUCACUAGUAAGAUCCUUUAAUGAAUCAUAAUUAUAUCUAAUUGCUCUAUUAUCCUCUCCAUCAGUGUUAAUAUCAAUCCAUUUUUCUUCUUUAUCCAUUAAUUACAAUGAUCUUUCUUCUUUUAUCCAUUAAUAAUGAAAUAAUGAUUAUAUAUAAGCUCGGUCACUAUAGUGGCCAACAAUUCUUUUAUUUUUUCUUCUCAAUCUCUUCCUUUCAUUUUCAAUUAAAGGAUUAAUUGGUAGUCAACUAAGCACUUAUUUUUUAAAAGGUUUAACUUUAAUCUUGGAUGCAGGACAAAACUUAUAAAUAUAUACCAAAACUUCUUAAAAGCACUAGUUACUACAACCAAUAAAUAUUGAGGCUCAAACCCCUUAACAAAUGUAUAUAAAAAGUUGAUGAAGGCUGUGAACCCAUUAAAAUCUUUUGAAUAUUUGAGGCUUAAUGUCACAGGAUGCUUCAACUGAGCCUCCUCCUGGGUUUAUAUAGAGCCCAAGAAGCUUUCGGAGACUCUUGGAGUCAUCUACACUAAGGCAUUGGAGGGAAGAGUGUGGAAGGUUCUAGAGAUGUCUACACAUCUCUACACUAUGGUGGAAGGCAUGAGAUGAGUCCAAGGCUUUCUAGAGAAUUCUAGAGAUCUCUUGUACAUAGGGUUGUACAUAGAAUUGUGUAGGGUAUUGUAGAAUCUUCUUGAUUUGUAAGGAACCCUUCAAGGUUCCAGAGAGUUCCAUUGGUGCCUAGAAAUAGGUGAGGGCCUCAUUUGGCCAAGACACCACCCGAGAACCUAACCAACCAAGCAAGUGAGUCCUCAAAGCACUUGUAAAAGCUUCCUUGAGUAAUAAGAACUUCUAUUCUUUAAGAGUUGCCUACUACGCCUUCUACAACUUCCGAGUGGCAAGCGUCUUAGCCUAGCAAGCUAAGCAUUGGGAGUAAGGCUGACUUAGCAAGAUCAAGCGUCUUGACUUGUCUAAGUGCCGCACGAGCUUAGUAAACGACUAAGUUCGUGACAUUAAGCAUUAAUAAUCCCAAGGUUACAACCACAAGCUAUAAGCCUUAAUCAGGUGAGACUUAAGCAUCGAUUACACUUUAUUGAGGCUAUUGCCUCAAGGCUAAUUUGCAUAGCUUGCCUUAGUAGCCUUUUAAAACAUUGGUUUCAUAUAACUCACCUAAUUCCUAAUAAUGCUCGGUAAAAGUGAAAAAAAUUUAGGAGGGGAAAAGAAAUAGAAGAGAAACAAGAAAAAGGAAAAAAAGAAAAAAAGGAAAUGGAGUGGAGUUGAGAUUUAGGUUUGUUCAGAUUAGCAUCUAAGAAGCCAAAAACAUUUUCUUAAUCUCAAUAAGAGUUUCUAUACUUGUUUGGAUAAUUUUGUUAAAAGAGUUUAUGAAUUAAAAGAUACAUUAAUAUGGAAGCAAAUAGAAGUUCUAGUUUGGUUUGUGUAUUACCUUGUAGCUAAAACAAAACUAAAUACUAUCCCAAAUGACGCCUUAUAUUAAUUUGCAUUGAUACUAUGUUAAUGUAUUGAGAAUAGAGAAGGAAGAGAAAGUGAGAAUGAAAAGGUUAAAAGGAGAAAAAACAGUAUGUCCAGGGUUGACUUGUGAUCUAAUUCAUAUCAAUAUAUUUUUUGACAUUAUGCUAAAACCUUAAUAUUGGUAACCAUUAAAUUGGCAUUCUAGCAAUUCAUUACAAAACCGAUUACUAAAACCAAUGGCUUACUAGUUUAAAUCCAUCCUUGGUGAGUUACCAUGUCCUUUUGAUUUCUUUCUUGUAGCCAUUACUCUAAUUCAUGCAAUUGUGUUUACUAAGACCAACAUUCAUCACCACUUGUCUUGAGCUCAAAGAUGAACAUAUCGGUUUAUAUAUAUAUAUAUAUAUAUAAAUAUCAGUGAUUGAAUUUUAUUGAUAUAUCGGGAAAUAUUGAUGAAAAUUUUGACAUAAAAUAUUGGUGGGAUGGAAAUUGAUUAGAACUCAUAGAUCUUGGGAAAAUUUAAAAAAAAAAAUAUUGGUAAAACCAACAUUCAUCACCACCUGUCUUGAGCUCAAAGAUGAAAAUAUCAGUUUUUAUAGAUAUAUAUCAGUAAUUGAAUUUUACGGAUAUAUCGGGAAAUAUUGAUGGAAAUUUUGACAAAAAAUAGUGGUGGGAUGGAAAUUGAUUAGAACUCGUGGAUGUUGGGAAAAUUAAAAAAAAAAUGAUAAAAGAAACAAUAAUACAUGUAUUGAAGUUGUUUUAAUGAGAAAUUUGAUGUAUGUAUAAUGAAUUUGUAACAUUAGUCAAUAAUAUAAUGAAUUUGAAAACAUAUUAAUAUUAAAAUGAUAAUAUAUUUAGUUUGAAUAUAUUAAAGAAUAUAAAAGAAAUGAUGACAUACAUAAAUAUUUUUUAUUUAAACAUAUUGAAAAUUUUAUUUACAAAUUUAUAUUUGACAUAUGUUUAAUUAUUACACAAAAGACAUAAUAAAAUAAUUAAAUUAAAUUAUUUAAAAUAUUUUUAUUUUAACUAAUUUAUAGUAUAAUAUAUUAAAGAUAUUUAUAAUAUGUAUAUAUAUGUUUUAUGCGAAAGUGUAAUAUUAAAGACUAUUUGGCUUAGUGGCAUGGGCAUUCCAUCACAAGCAUAAUAAAUUAAUGAAAUAUUGCAAAUUUAACUUGAUGUGUUAAUUUGUGCCUGUGGCUUAGCUGGUUUGUUUGUCUUGUGUUAUGUGUCAACAAUGAUUUAUAAUUUGCAUAAUCAUGUUGAGUUAUGGUCAAUCUCAUUCUAGGUGGGAAAGAAAAAUUAUAUAUGAUGCAUUAUUUUAUCAAAAGCUAGAUACCUAGUAUUAACAACGUAACAUUUAGUGAAAUUUCCAAAUAGUGAAAGUUAUCAAUAUUUGCACUCUUCAUAUCUUUGUGUUUGAAUUUUUUAUACUCUUUUUUUAAUUGGUAGGUUUGCAUCAUGCUAGGAAAUUUGAAGCAUAAAUGAUUUCAAUCUUUUUUACUUUUUGUCUUUUAUUCUUUGACCAGGAGCUUAGAGAACGUAUUCAACCUUAUUUCUUGCGUCGCUUAAAGAAUGAGGUAUUUCAUGAAGAUGAUGCCUCAGAAACUGCCAAACUUUCUAAAAAGAACGAGAUUAUCGUGUGGCUAAGAUUGACAAGUUGCCAGGUGUAAUUCUUGGAUUUAAUGUACAUUUCAUUCAUUUUUGAUGGUAGGUUUUGGUUGUAUACUUAUACUAAUCUUCUUGUUUACUAUUGGUUUGUUGUAGCGACAACUAUAUGAAGCUUUUUUGAACAGUGAGAUCGUUCUUUCAGCUUUUGAUGGCUCACCAUUGGCUGCAAUUACGGUAUUGUUUUCCUUAUGUAGCUUUUAUCUUCUUUGUUGCUCGAUAUCUAGUUGAUUUUUUAUAUGCAAAUACCAUGGAGGUUCUUUGAAUUGUUGUCAUUUUCUUAUGUUAUGCUUUUAUUUUUAUUUUUUAUUUUAUGAAUCCCAUUAUACAAUGUUGGCAAUAGCUGAUACGAUAAGUUUCUUUUUUGCUUUUGGAUUAUUAUGGAGGUCCACAACUCUUUAAAGCUAGUGUGGUUUGGGUGGAUAGUAUCCAUAUUGAUAGAAGAGUAUUUUUUAAAGGUAUAGUGUAAAAAUAAAGGAUGAUGCCAUUUUUUUUAGGGUCUUCCAUUUUAUACCAAUGAUUUAAUUAUAAGAUUACAAACUUUAUGUUCUUUUUUUAGAUUAUGCACACUUGUAGCAUGGGAUUUUGGAAAACUAUGAUGAGAGAGUACAAAUGAGUGAAUGAUCUUGAAUUUGAAAGCAGUUAUGACUAUGAAUUAAAAUAUUUGAAAAUGCAGAAAUAUUGAUGGUUGGAUUUUAUAGAAAUAUCAAAUGAAAACUUGAAAAAAAAAAAUUUGGUGGAAUGAAAAUUGAUAAAAUCUCAUAAAAUAUUGGAAAAAAAACUCUAUGAAAUGAUGAAACAAGCAAUAAUACAAAUAUUGAAGUGGUUUUAUUGAAAAAAAAUAACGUAUAUAUGACCAAAUUUGUGACAUUCGACAAUAACAUAUGAAACAUGAAAACACAUUUAAUAGUAAAAUGAUGAUAUAUCUAGUUUGUAUAUAUUCAAUGAUAUAAAAGAAAUGAUGAUAGAUGUAUAAUUUUUUUUUUUAUUUACAAAUGUUUAUAAUUUCAUUUACAAAUUUUUAUUUCUUAUGUAUUUAGUUACUAUACAAAAGAUAUAAAAAAACUCAUUAAGAAGAUUAUCAUGAUGAUUUUUGUAUUCCUAACAAUUUUUUAAAUGAAAUUUGAAAAUAAAAUAAUUAAAAUUAAUUUAUUUACUAAAAUUUUGUUUUAAAUUUCAUUUUUUGCAUAAAUAUAUUAAAAAGUUUUAAGAAACACAAAUGAGUAUAUACAUUUACUAUGCAUAAUUACUAAUAAGAGCAACAUACCUUAUUGGUGCAACACUCCCUUUCUAAAAAUUAAGAGAUCAGUUUUUGAAUUUUAAUUUUUUGUUCAUUCUCUCUCUAGUUUCCACCAUUUUCUAGGCUACCAAACAAGGAGAAUAAAGGCUAAAUUCUCCAUAUAUAAUAGCUAAACACCAUUUCAUUUGGUGGAGGAGUGUUUUUGGGUGAAGAUCACAAUUGAAAGUGCAUUUUUCUAAAGUGAAAGUUGAUUCCUAUUUUCAGGUUCUUGAAUUUUUCAAUACUUUAAGCGAGAAUUUUUUGAGAAUCUCUCUUGAUUAGGCAUAAGUGAUCCUUCUUAGAUUCAUUGAGUGAUUGUUCUUGCGAUGAUAUUCAGUAAUUUUCACCUAGAUUAUCUAUGAGCAACUUCUUGACUAGAUUCUUAGAUGAAUUAGGGCUAAUAAUUUGAGAAUCAAAACUCUUAAGAGUUGGAUUAAUUUUGCUAGAAGAAGAAUCCUAUUAGAAGCUUAGAUUUGAUCUUAGUGGUUUUGCAUUGUCUUUGAUUAAGAUUAUCACAACAAUGAGGAAGAUAAUUCCAAAUGUUCUAAUGGUUUUUUCCAAUUAUAGUUCUUUGCUCAAGGUUUAAUUGUUUUGAAAUCUAUUUGAAAAUUCAAUUUGAGAACUAAGUUUUAGAUUUGACUCAAAUCCUUAACUGAUCACAGUCCUUAGUUCCUAAAGCCAAAAAUGAAUUUAAUAAAAAGAACUAACAACAUGACUUCAAGUUUGAACAUACAUUUUCCUUUUCAUAAAUUACGACCAUUCGACAAAAUCAAGGUGUGAUCCAAAACUAGUCUAUGUAGAAUGCAUUGGGAAAUGUAACGUGCUUGUUUGAUGAAUAUAGGUCUUUUUCAACAAUUGGAGACAUUGCCAUUGAUAUAGCAAUGACAGGGAAAUUGUUUGAAGUUGAAAAGAAGAUCUUUGAGGUUUGAAGGCUUCCAAGGAGGGGAAUGGAUUUUUGUUGCGAAAAGGUAUUGAGGUAUUGCUUUCUCGAUGGCCUUAGGAAGAAAUGAGAUCACUUGGCUAAUAGAGCAACUAAAGAGGGCAUCGGAGUUGGAGGGUUCUUUGGGUUUCAUUUGGAACUAUUAGGGAAAAACAAGUACACAUCUUUUGGAGAUUUGUUUUAACAAUUCAGGUAGGUUCAUUGAAAUCACAGAGUUUAUUACAAAUAGAAUAACUAGAACAUUGGUUAUUCCUGAGGAUGAUAAAAGCAAAGGAUGGGAAACCCUAAGGAAGACAAUAUCCUCAAUGUUGAAUCUCCUUUUGGUGCUAUUGUAGUAUGACAAUCAGAUGAGGCGAAUACAGAGGAACUAGUGGGUGAUGGUUUUUAAGGAGUGAAACACUCUUAUGCAAGAGUUGUCAAAAAGGAGGGUCUAAAAAAAGGAUCUUUAGUUCCAGUUGAUAAGUGGGCUAGAGCUGUGAUUUGUGAAAGUUAAGAAUUUAAGAUUAGGAUAUUGCUGGAAAGGCUAUUGCUAGACAGUUGGGUUUGAGGGACUAAUGUCUAUAAAUCCAUUCUUGACAUAUAAAGGGUUAUUCUUUAUGGACUCCACUGAAAGAGCUUUGUGGCUUCAAGAGCAUGGGAGGUUGUCAAUAAAGGAGGAACAUGAUAUUUUCUUGAGAUGGUUGCCUAGAGAAAGUACAAUGGUGCUUGGAAAAUUCAGGCGGGGAUAGAUAGAACUAAGAGGCCUUCCAUUUCAUUUAUGGAACGAAAACCAUUUACAACACAUAAUGAAGGCUUAAGGGAGGUUGAUAUAGGUAGAUCAUUGCCCUUUGAAGCUUGUUGAUUUAUCAAAGGUUAAAAUGAAAGUGAAGAUGAACCCAAAUGUGGUGCUGCCAACACUUAUGGAGGUGAAAGAUGGUGUCUGGAGUUUCAUGGUCUCAAUUUAGGUCUUCAAAGUAGAAGAAGAAAGUAGACAUGAGAGGGAUGAGUCAACUCGUAGUAGUGGUGAAUUUGACUUGAUGAGUAGGGUGUUUUUUCUAGGAAAAAUUCAAGUUAGGGACAAGUGAUAGAACCAAAGAGAAUAUGGGAAACAAUUUUAUUCCAUCUUAUUGUUCUUCAUUUUCAUAUUCAAACCUAGAGCUAAACAAAGCCUUAAGGAGGAGGAAAGACGUGGCAACAAAGAAGAGAGGCUUAGAAGUGGAAAGCCCACCAAGUCUUAAAGAUUCCUUAGCUGAUAGAUCUAGGCCCGUUUCUUUUGUUAAGGUCCAUUGUGGAGGAAGCCCAAAAAGAGGAGAAGGUUAAAGGCCCUUAGUUCUUACAAGAGGCAACCUAGUCUAAACGGAAAAAGGAGCCCAAACCUACUUCUUAAGAAAGACCCAUCAGACACUUUUUCCCUAAAACUCCAAGGCGUAGUCUCCACUUCUGUGGAGAACCAACCCAUUGUAGGUCAUAAGAGUUGCCCACAUGAAGGGCAACCUUAGACAACAUGAGGCUUCGUGCAAGUAGUUUGCCCCCACUUGAUAAAGGUUUGUCCAAUGAAAGAAAACAUACUUCAAACUUCCAUAAGGUUUUAAGGGAGUGAGGGUCUAUAGUGGUCGAUGAUGUUGUGGAUUUUAGCAUGUAUCCCUUUCUGAAUUUUAGUGUUGAAAUGGAUCCAUUGAAUGAAGCAAUUCAUGUAAAGGGUUGAGGAUUGAUUGACUUCAACCAGGGUGGACAAUGUCCUAUCUUAGAAAUAACCCAAGAAAACACUGAAGAGACUGAAGGAGGAGAUGGAUUCUCGCUUUGUGGUUUGCGAAGUCAAGUAUUUCCUUCUAAUCUUGAAACCUUUAAUGAGGGUCAAUUCUUAGUUGUUGCCGCAUUUCAUCUUGAUCAAUCUUAGUUUAACUUAUUGAACUUGGGGUCAAAGUCUAGAUUCCUUGGCUAUAACUCCAAUGAAUGAACCUAUUGUAACAUUUGUGCUUAAUGUUGGCGGCCCCACUUUCAAAGUUGUGGAGUGCCUUAGAGAUAUCAAUAACUAAAAACUUAAAAGUUUUUCUUUUCUCAAGUCGCCACUUCGCAACCUUGGUGAGAGCACCUUAGAACCAACCUCAUCCUUGUUGGAAAAAUCACACAUAGUAAAAUGGCCAAUGACAAGUUGGUUUUGGAAACUAUGAAAAACAAGCUAGUCAAAGGUAGUGUGAAAGUCCUCCCAACGCACAACCAUCGGUUAAGGUUUAUUUUAGAAUGAAGUAUAGACCUUCACAUGGAGUUCUUGUGGAUUUUUAGGUUUGAUUUGGUAGUUUGAAAGACUCUUAAGUGUUCACAUGAAGAUCAUUAGUUGGGAUAUUAGAGGGUUGGGUUCCAAAAGGAAAAGGAUUAUGAAGGAUUUCCUUAACUUUGAAAACCUAGACAUUGUGAUGCUUUAGGAAAGACAGAGGGAGACUUGUGAUAGGAGGUUAGUGGGCGAUGUGUGGAAAGGUAGAAAUAAGGAUUGAGUUGUUCUUCUAGCUUGUGGGGCAUAAAGGAAUCGUGAUAAUAUGGGACUCAAAAUAAGUUCAAGUGUUCAGAGAUGGUUUUAAGGUCUUUUUUGGUAACUCUUAAGUUGAGUUAAGAUAAAGAGGGAACCUUCUAGUUGACAUCGGUUUAUGGUCCUAACAAUUUUAACAUGAGGAAGGAUUUUUGAUUGGAGCUUCAAGACCUUUUUGGUCUAACUUUCACGAUUUGGUGUGUAGGAGGGGACUUCAAUGUCAUAAGAAGAAUCUUGGAGGAAAUGGGUGCCUCUUGGUUAACCCUUAUCAUGAGGAUUUUUAUUAGUUCAUAAGAGAAAGUGAGUCAAUUGAUCCCCUUAUUAGAAAUGCAUCUUUUACUUGGUCAAAUAUACAAGAGGUAGGAUAGAUUCUUGUACUCAAACAAGUGGGAUCAAAGUUUCCCUCAAAGCCACCAAGAAGUGCUUCCUAGAUGGACCUCUGAUCAUAGCCUAGUCUUCUUUGAUUUCAACCUUUUUAAGUGGGGUUGAACUCCAUUUAAGUUUGAGAAUAUGUGGUUGCUCCAACUUAAUUUCAAGGAAAGAUUUAGUUAUUAGUUGCAGGAGUGUUAGGUUGGCGGUUAGAAAUUCUUGAAGAAACUAAAUUUUGAUAAAUCUAUAUUGAAAGAUUGGAAUAGGGUGUCCUUUUGAGAUUUAAAGGAGAAAAAAAAAAGAAUAUUCUUUCAAACAAUGUAAGGAUUGAUAACAAUGAGCAAGAAGAGAAUCUGAUUCCUGAACUUUCUACAUUGAGAGCCAUAAGGAUGGGGGAUUGGAGGAGUUAUUGUUAAAGAAAGAGGUUCAUUGGAGGCAAAAAAUCUAGGUUAAAUGGAUAAAAGAAGGCAAUUACAAUUCUAAGCAUUUCCAUAAGGUGGCCAAUGAUAUACAUAAUAGAAGAAUAAAAAAAGAGGCUUUCAAAUUGUGAUCGCUCUCUACUCUUCAUCAAUCGUCAGGCCGGCCAGCGGUCGGAGUCAACGUGUCCUCGACGGCCACGACCAAGGGAGAAUGGUAAGAAGGGAGGGCAGUGUAUUUGGAGCGCUUUGAAGUGGAGAAAAAGGUCUUCAAGGUUAGAUUUGAAGGCAUCCAUGUGGGUCCUUAGAUUUCAGUUACGAAGAAGGUUCCAAGGCACGCUUUCUCGGUGACUUUUGAAGAAGAGGAAAUUGUAUGGAUUUUAGAACAGUUGAAGAAGGUUGUGGAGUUGUCAGAAUCUUGGGGUAGAUCGAGAACACAUUUGGUGGAAAUCUAUUUCAAUAAUAGAGGAAGAUACAUUAGAAUUUCGAAGUUCGUCACAAAUAGAAAAUCUUCCUCUCUGAUUGUUCUUGAAGGAGUCAAAGGUAGAGGAUGGGAAGCCCUAUGGAAGUCGAUAUUGUCUGUGUCGGAGAGCCCUUUUCAUUUAGUUAUGAGAAUAGAGGUGGAAGCAAAGAUGAAAAAUAAAGAUUGGGGUUUAAGGAAAUGAGCUCUCUUACCUGUUGGAAAGUGGGCUAGGGUUGUGAUUUGUGAAGGUCAAGUUGUGGUUCAAGAUUGGGGUGUUAUAGGUAACGCUUUUUCGAGAAUGAUGGGGGUGAGGGUAAUGAUUUCCAUAAAUCCUUUUUCAGCUUUUAAAGGUGUCUUCUUCGUAGAUUUAGUUGAAAGAGCAAACUGGCUUUAGGUGCAAGGAAGGCUAGCUUCGAGAGGACUAGUUUUUAGGUUGAGGAAAUGGUCACCAAGAGAAAAUACAAUAGUUCUUGGAAAAUUCAGGAGGGAUUGGAUAGAGUUGCGAGGUCUCCCAUUCCAUCUAUGGAAUGAAAAUCAGUUAUGAUUCAUAAUGAAGAAUUGGGGGAAAGUGACAGAAGUGGAUCGUGAUACUUUAAAGCUUAUUGAUUUAUCAAAGAUUAAAGUGAUGGUGGAAAUGAAUCCGAAUGUGGUGUUGCCGGUGCUAUUGGGGGUGAUAGAUGGUGCCUGGGUUUUUAUAGUUGUAGUCACAAUCAUCAGAGAUGAAGAAGAAGAAGUUUGGAGAAAGCCCGAGUUAACUCACUUUAGAAGCGAGUUGGCUUCAAUGGGAGAUGGCGUGGUGUAGGGCACUUCAUAGGCUUGGAGGAUACGUGGCAAGGCUAGGAUAGCCACCCACUUUGGUUGGUCUCAAAUAUCAUUUCAAAUUCAAAUGGGCUUGUGAAGCGAGGAAUUGUUAUAAAGGAAAAAAAGGCAUGCAUAGGGAGAGAAUCAUGCCUAGUUGAGAAGGAAAGCCUAGGCCUAUUCUAAGGUUUCCUAGGUAUUAGACCAAAGCCCUUAACCCUAAUUGUUGCAUUCUUUGUAGGAAGAGCAAAGAGACGAUUGAUAAUCUCUUCUUGCAUUGUCCGAUUACUUUGGGAUUGUGGCAUAGAAUCUUUUCACAUGCUGGGAUGAAGUGGGUUCAGUCUAAUAGUAUUUGCAAUAUGUUGGUGAUCUCCUUCAAGUGUUUUGCAAAUUCUAUUAGAGGUAAGACUCUUUGGAGGAUCAUGUCUCUCUCUCUCUCUCUUUUGGAUUGUGUGGAGAGAGAGAGAAAUGUUAGGAUUUUUUAGGACAUUUGGAAGACGUUAGAGAUGAUGUGGGAUCAACUUCAUUUUCAUGUUUCUUUUUGGGCUUACUGUACAAACAUUUUUAAACCCUAUCAUUUUAGUGUAAUCCAGCUUAGUUGGCUUCAAUUAUGUACACCUUAGGGUUGGGUUUAUAGGGUCAGGAUUCUUUUACUUGUAUAGGCUUUUUAUUCUUUUUGUAUAGCCCUCCUUGGGUUAGUGGAGGUUUAUUUAGUUCUUUUGAUCAUGUGGCCUUUUGUAUCUCUUGUAUAGCCUUCCUUGGUUAGUGGAGGUUUACGUAGUUCUUUUGAUCAGGCUUGUACUUCAUGGGGAGGAUUUCUCAUCCUUAUCAUGUCUCGUUUCUCUAUUAAUACAUAUAUUUUGUUUCUGAUUUAAAAAAAAAAGGUGGCCAAUGGUAGAUGAUAAAAUCCUUAGGUUCUAAAGAGGGGGUAACUUUAGGCACCAUUGAAAAUAUUUUAGAAGACAAUGGAUUUUUUUGGUAAGCUAUACUCUAAAACCUUAGGCGAUUAUUGGAGGAUUGGAUUGGUUUGUCGUAUCUGGAGAGGCUGUUACAUGGCUAGACCACCCAUUUCUAAAAGAACAAGAACACUUUGUUGUUUACCAAUUGAAUAAGGAAAAAUGCCCCUAGCCUUGAUGGCUUCACCAUUGUAGUUAUCAAGAGUGUUGAGAUGUGACUGAAGAGGACAUUAUGAGGGUGUUCUUUGAGUUUCACAAUAAUGAGAUAAUAAAUCAAAAUACCAAUGUCACAUUCAUAGUCAUUAUGCUAAAGAAGAAUCAAAUCAGGAAAAUCUCAAAUUUCAAACUUAUUAGCCUAGUUACAAGUUUGUAAGAUUGUAGCUAAGGUCUUAUUAAGGCAUUUAUGCAGAUUUCUCCAUGAAACCAUCUACAUACUAGAGGUUUAAGAUAAAUAAACCCUCUUUCCCCUUUCCUUUUCACUAUUGCAGUUGAUGUUUAAAUAGGAUGAUGAUCAGAGCAGAGGAAAGUGAUUUAUUAAAAGGUUUCAUAGUGGGCAAGGGUAAGACUAGAGUGUCUUUUUUACAAUAUGCAAAUGACACAAUUUUAUUUUCUAAAGCCUUUUUGGAAUAUCUGUAAUACCUUAAGCUAAUCUAUUUGGUUUUUGGGAAAAUAUUAUGGCUUAAGAUCAAUUUAGAGAAAAGUUAUCUCUAGUAUUAAUAUAAGUUAGGAUUUGGUAUCCAAGGUGGAUUGGAUGCUUGAUUGUAAAGUUUUAGAUUGACCUUCAUCUUAUUUGGGUCUUUCUUUAUUAGGGAAUUUGAAGGCAUGCAAAUUUUGGGAUCUAGUGGUUGAUAGAAUCUCAAUGAGACUAGACGGGUUGAUAAAGCCUUUUUUUUCUUAAGGGUGAGAAUAACUCUAAUCCAGUCAUUCUUGUCUCACACCUCUAGCUAUUUCUUAUCUCUUUUCAAGAUCCUAGCAUCAGUAGCUUUAAAGAUUGAGAAAUUGCAAAUGGAUUUUCUUUGGUCAAGGAUUGAGGAAGGUAAAAAAUAUCAUCUUAUCAAUUGCGAUAUAAUGUGUAAACUAAAGGAGUUUGGAGGUUUGGGGUUGGGAAGACUUCUAUGAGAAAUCGUGCUCUGUUAGGGAAGUGACUUUGGAAGUUUCAUAGGGAAAGUUUAGGCCUUUGGCAUCAAAUUAUUUUGAGCAUUUAUAGAACACAUCCUAAUGGAUAAGACGCUAACAUUUUGGUUAGAUGGUCAUAUGGAUGUUCUUGGAAGGUUAUUACACAAGUUUUCUAGGACAUUUUUUCGUAUACUCGCUUUAUGGUGGGUUACGAGGUGAGAAUUCGUUUUUGGGAAGAUUUGUGGUGGGGAGAUCGACCAUCAUGUUCACAAUUUCUAGGUCUUUAUAGGGUUAUCAUAGUGGAAAAUCUCACCAUAUCAGUUGUCCUUGAUAACUCAUUUUCACCUUCUUGGUACCUUAACUUUCAUUGUAGUCUCACUAAUAUGGAAAUUAAAACCUUGAAAGACUCAUGUCCCCACUCCUAUGCACUUGUCUCUAUUUGCUGUAGAUUCAAGAGCUUGAUCUUUAUCCUCCUCAGGUUUACUUUUAGUAAAAUCUUUUUUCUUAGCCUCCUCCAUUAUAUCAAAUCCAAUUUUGGUCUUUGCAACCAAAUUUUUAUCGAAACCAAAAGCUCCAUCAAAGGUCAAUGCUUUUGCUUAGUUAGUAGCACACAGAAAGGUUUAAACUAAUGACAUGCUACAAUUGAGAAAGACUUUACAUGUGUUUUAGUCCUUAUUUGUGCAUCUUAUUUAGGAGAAGUGGAGAAUUGAUAGAUCUUCUCUUUCUAUAUUUGUCCAUUAAUAUUGUAGCUUCUGCAUAAGCUUUACAAUCUAGACAAGAUGGAUUGGGUUCUACCUAGGUGUGUACGUGACGUGUUGACUAUCUCAUUUAGAGAUUUGGGAAGUUCUAUCAGAGGCAAGACCUUUUGACAAAUCGCUUGUCUCAUGAUGUUGUGAAUUGUUUGACAAGAGAGGAAUGCUAAGAUCUUUGAAGAAAAGUGAGGAACGGAAGAGAUGUUAUGAGAUUUACUUCACUUCUAUUCUUCCUUGCAAGUGUGUUGUACCAUUGCCUUUAGAGGCAUUUCACUCAAUGUUAUUCAACUCAAUUAGCUUGUGGUUUGUAAUUCAAAGGGGGUGAAUAACAAUAAGACAAGUUGAGUCCAAUUUUAAGGAGAUGUUACCUAUAUAUACUUAGGCGGCCUAUACCUUUGUGUAUAGUUCUACUUGUAUAGUGGAGGUGUUUAGUCUUACUUUGAUCAAUAUUUUGUAAUUUGUGGGAAGGACCUCUCAUUAUUCUCUUGCACUUUUUUCAUGAUUACUAUAUCUUUUAUUUUUUAUAAAAAAAAUAAAAAAAAAAUAAAAAGAAGAGAAAAAGAGGGAAUGACUAAGUAUAGUAGCUAGUUGUCUUCAUAGGGAUUUGAUAAGUUAAUCCUAGAUCUAUUAGUGAAAUUUACCAGAAAAAUGAUGAUUAAAACCUUGCAACAAAUGAAGAAAACAUAACUUUAUGAUUUUGAAGAUGUUUGAGUGAAUUGGAUUGGAAAAUAAAGAUAAAAAAUAAAUGAAUAAGAGGUAAAAGUCCAUCCAGAUGGAUGUGUCCUUGGAUCAGAUCUAAGCCUUAAGGAGGAUUCAUCAUUAAGACAAACUCACUUGCAUUCUCAAAAUUCUGGAUAUCUGAAGUUCUAAGCGCAAGUCAUGAGUUUGCUCAUAAGCAAUCUAAGUCAAAAUCAUUGAAUCUUAUCUCUUGAACAUUUAAUAAAUACACAAAGCAUCUCCUAUGCCUUAUCAAGAAGAUUUUCAGAGAAUUCUUGCAUAGGAUGAAGCAAUCCACAAGUCUUAAGAGUAUGAAAUGGGUUUUACUUGUGAAAAAUGCACUUUCUAGCUUUGAUCUUCACCUUGAGCACUCCUCCUCUAGAUGUAGAAGGGUUUAGCCACUAAACAUGGAGAAACCAACCUUUAUUCUCAUUGUUUGACAUCAAGAAAAUGAUGGAAAGUAGACAGAGAAUGUGGAGGGAGAAUUCAAAUUCAAAAAUUGAAAUUAAUCUAAUUGUCACUACAAUGAUCCAAAAAGCUCUCUAACUUCUAACAAUCUAGCCUAUUUAUAGCAUCACAUUAUUUAAUUGGCAAGAUCUCAUGAUGCCACAGCAUCCAAUAGUAACUAAAAGCCUAAGUGUCCAAACCUCACAGAAAAUUAUAACAAUGAUUAUAUCUCAUCAAUUUGAGGUAAAAUUAUACAAAAAAAAUGUCCCUGUAACAAAAUAUGUCAAUACUGUAGUAUAGUUUUUUAUACUAUCUUGACAAUUAGCUCCAAAAUCAUUCAAGCCUUCCAUUUUGAUACUCUGAUAUUAUGUAUCGAAAAUGGUAUUGAUUUUUUAUCAAUCAACUAUUAAAGCUCCGAUGAAAAUUGGUUCCUUGUAUCGAAACCAAAAGCCAAGUUUCUCCACCCUUCUGCCAAGAAUUGAUAUGUUAUUUUGGUCUUGAAAUAGCUUUGACAUGUUUAACACUAUAUCGAAAUUUACAUCUAGCUUCUUGGAGUAUGCUAUCAAACUAGUAUCUAAUAUGGUAUCAAAAUAUAAGAUAUUUCAAUACAUCCUCUAAAAACCUUCCUUAACUUUGCUUCAUCACGUAAUAUUUGGUUCUUGACCUUUAUCCUUUUCAAAGUCUAAAUUGUUGAGUUUUUAUCCCCCUUUUGUUGCGCAAUCCCUUAGAUGUUCUUAUUAGCAGCCAAAUAGGUGCUAGCAAAAAUAUAAGCUAAUUAGAGUAGUUUAUGCUCUAUUGUUUUUUUUUUCUUGAUAUUUUGAGUAGUUUAUGCUCUGUUUCAUUAUAGAAUCUACAAUUUAGAGCAUAGAAAAACCUAUGAUUUAAGCACAAAUGAACUUGGUUCACAAAUCCAACUGGAUGAGCAUUUACUCUGAUUUCUCUGCUUUAAUUUCUAUUCUGGUGCUAUGUUCUUUGCAUAUCUUUACAAAUUCACAAAAAUCCAAAUUGUUCUGAUUAGUUUAGUGUUUAAAAGACAGAAAAAAAAUAAAAAAAACUUCCUUACAGAUCUCAAUGUUAUUCCACUAGGUUCCUAAUGAUCUAGCCACUAUGCUUAGUUGUUAGUUCUUUUGAUUAAUUCAAUCAUUUUUAGUUUAGGAGCUAAUUGGACUUUGAUAAAUCAGAGUUUAGUUCACAAACAGGAGAUCGCAAUUAUGUUUUCUUUUAUAAAAAUUUCAGACAAAGUAUUAUUGAAAGGAAAAUCUGAUUUGACCGACUUUCAUUAAAUUUAAAAUUUCAUUAUGGCACUAUCAGAAACAGAGGCCAUAAAAUAACGAACCGAAAGUUAGAUUUUAAAGGUGCUAACAUGGCACAAUGAGGUUUCUUGGGAAAUUGUGAAAAUAUCAUGAAAAAUCAAUGAUUAAUUGAAAAAAUUGUCAAACUAUAACAAAAAAUCGGAGAUAUUUUUGGAAACUCCGUUGGACCAAGUUUCUCUCCAAAAAAUUAUGUUAGGGGUUGGUGAUACAAUGAAAUUUCAACAAAAAAUCACCCACAUUCCCUGAAAUUUUCUUCCUUGGUUAUGACAUAUUUUUAUAGUUUUUUGGAUUAAGUUUCCAAAACUUUUACUUAUCAUUGUAUAUUCUUUAACUAAUUUGGUUGGAUAUUUUUGAGUUUGACUCUUCCUGGACCAAAUUUUGUGGGAAAAAAAACCAUGCUGUUUAGGUGAGUUCACAAAGGCAGUUUCUAUAAAGGGGAUUUCUUUCUUUUUCCCUUUUUCCCUUUUGGUUUGUAGGUGAAUGAGGGCUUUGUGGGCAAAAGGGGGCUUUGUGGGGCUGGGAGAAUGGGUUCAGUUCUUGGUCAUGGGGGUGGCUAAAGUCUAGUUCUGAUUGGAGUCGACCUUUGAUAUAGUGAUGACAUCAGUUGGUUAUGGAGUCAACUGAUUAAUUGUUCACUUUGCAUGAAGUGAAGAAUUUGGAGUGGUUCAUAUUUGGGCUGGUAUUACCUUUGAUUUAUGGUUAGAUAUUCUCCUUCUUUUCCUUGUAGGUUGUAGGUGAAUGAAAGGAAUGAUGAAGAUGAACCCAACAGGAUACUCAUUUACACUGAAUCAUUGAAUGUCAGUUGCUUAAUUUACUUCUUUACAUGGCAAAGUUUUUAGAAUCCCAUGAUUCAGAUGGCAGCAAUAGUUCUUCUACUUAAGAGAUAAAUAUUGAAGUGGUGAAACAAUGCUUUUGCAAGCCCCCAUUAAGGGGGCCUUAGAUCUCAUUUUCUGAGAAUAUGAACUUCUUUUAUUUAUUUUGUUUGUAAAUUUUUUCAUUUGAUUUCAAGCAGAUUCUGAAAAAAAUAUGUGAUCAUCCCCUCCUCUUAACAAAAAGAGCCGUUGAAGAUGUGUUGGAAGGAAUGGAUUCAAUGCUAAAUCAAGAAGACCUUGGUAUGGCGUCGAAGCUAGCGAUGCACUUAGCAACCGCCUAUGAGAGAGAUGAUUUCUUGGAGAAGAAUGACAACGUUUCAUCCAAAAUGUCUUUUAUAUUAGCUUUACUGGUUGGUGAUGCUAGACCCUGUUAGACAGAUGUCCUUAUUAUUGUCUUCUGCUGUAACCAAAUGCCUACGAUGCCUUGCACAGGAUACUUUAAUUCCAGAGGGGCAUAAUGUUCUUAUCUUUUCUCAAACUCGCAAGAUGCUUAAUCUCAUUGAGGUAAGUUGCAAAGUUUUGGUGAUUUCCCUGUUUCCAGUAUUUCUUAAGAAGGAAAUUUGGCAUUGUUUACUUCCUUUUUCUAUGGUAUUAAUGUAGUUGAUAGCUGACCUCUAGUAGCUGAGGUUCAAAGUUUUGAUUAGUUGAGUUAUUAGUUUAGCUGAUAGUUUGGGGAUAUUAGGAGUUAUAGAUUGAUUGAUGACUUAAUUGUUUUUGUGAUUUCAAGGCUUGUGGCAAGCUGGGUAGAGAAUUAUGAUUAUUUAAAUAUACAAGUAGUUUGGUUAAAGACAAACAAAGACCCAACUACUAGGCAUUUUCCAAACCCAGAUACAGGGAACCUAGUUGAGUUCUAACUUAGGUGCUCAUCUAAACUAGCCAUUUGCCUUGUGUACGCUGCUCCUUGCUACACUCUUGUUGAUACUAGAUGGGACCUAUGUGUCACCAUGGACUAAAACAUUGAUGAGAUUAUCAAGAUAUUGAGUCUCAUGUAUGGUGAGGAGAGUCACAACUGUAGUUUUAUUUUUUACUUUUUCUUAACUUAGAAAUUGACAUUUCUUCCGAGAUUUAAAAAGAAAAUAUUGAUUGGAUUGCUCUCAAUUGCAUUUUUCUUCCUUCAUUGCUUGGUUUACCUGUGUAAUACUCUUUUCUUUGACUCCAAAUUUAAACAUUGGGCACAACUAAAAAAUAAGAAGCUUGGGAAAUGAUUUCUUAUUUAUCCAUGUAUGCAUCUUCAUCAAGGUUAUUGUCUCCCAUUCUAAAGAUAACUUCAGGGGUAGGGUGUUAAAACUAAAAUUAAGUUUAUUUUCUCCGACCUUGCAUCAUUAUUUUAUCAGGUAGGAUGAUGAUAGAGUAGAGAACACCAAAAAGGGAGUAUCGUUGAAAUUUAUGGGAAGUAUACUAGCAAUAACUUUUAUAUUGAUCAAUAGUUAAUGUUCUCCUUUUAUAUUAAACUUUUUUGUUUCCCCUUUCUUCAUAUGGAAUUUAUUUGUCUUAAGCAUGAGCAUUUGAAGGAUCUAUGUGUUUGUGUUUCGUUUUCCUUUCUUAAAUAAUUUGAUUGGAUGUUUUAAAGUUCAAAAUGAACAAGUAUAUGAUGUAAAUAAACAACCAUGGAACUUGCAUCUUUUAUGGUUUUGAAUAUGAUGUUAUUUUAAGGCAUAACAUGAGUGUUAAUUUUGAAUGACCUUUUUGUUGCUGUCAGGAAUUGCUAAUAUCCAAUGGUUACAAGUUCUUACGCAUUGACGGUACCACAAAAGCUAAUGACAGAGUGAAGAUUGUUAAUGUUUGUGUUGUACUCAGUUUAAAUUAGGACUAUUCAUUUGUUUUCAUGAAGUUUUUAAGCCAUAAUUUUCAUUUUAUGAUCAGGAUUUCCAAGACGGUGUUGGGGCUCCUAUAUUUCUCCUGACAUCUCAAGUUGGUGGUUUGGGCCUCACUUUAACAAAAGCAGACCGUGUGAUUGUGGUUGAUCCAGCUUGGAACCCAAGGUGCUAUUCAUAUUAUUUUUUUCUUAUUUAGAUUUAGUGAAUACUUAUCCGCUCAUAGUUCAAUUAUUCUGAAACAAAGACUAGGUAGAGCCAUAAAAAGCUUUGCAAAUUGUUCUUCAUGGGAUAUUUCUGUAUCUCAAAUGACUCAUUUCAGCACCAAUUAAUUUUUCCUCUUUUUUUUUUUUUUAAAUAAGUUUUGUUGUAAGAAUCACUCAGUGCAUAACUUGUGGGAUGAGUGUUACUUACAUCGUUUUAUUGUUGCAGUACGGAUAACCAAAGUGUUGACCGUGCUUACCGAAUUGGCCAAACAAAGGACGUCAUUGUGUACAGGUUAAUGACAUGUGGCACCAUUGAAGAAAAGAUAUAUAGAAAGCAGGUUAGUUACUCUUUGUUUCUUUUUGGGGUUGAAGUGGUUAAAAUUUAAGGAAUUUAUUUUUUGUGACUACACUAUUUUCUUCAUGUCUAAGACACAUGCCUCUAAGGCCCAUAGGAGUAUUGGGUGUUUGUAUGAUCCUAUGUGAUGGAAUGACAAUGUACACUUGUUCUCGCCUAUUAUCAUAACCACGUAAAAUGUAUGCUCUUAAGGUAAUCAGUUUCUCAGUUAAGGAGUCUAGAUAGAGAUACCUCACUUUAUUAUUAUUAUUAUUAUUAUGAUGAUAAUUUUUUAAUAUUUGUUUCAAUUAUCCUCUAUUACAAUGAGUGUAUCAUGGUAUUGUUAUGAUUGCUCAAAAUGUGUGAUUUAGAUAUUCAAGGGGGGAUUGUUUAGAACUGCAACUGAACACAAAGAACAAACUCGGUACUUCAGCCAACAGGUAUAUACUUAGAGAAUUAUGUUUGUUCUUUAACUUACUAACCCUUUAACAUUUUAAAGAUGGGUGAUCUCUACCAAGUUUUCCACAAUUCUUUCAGGACCUUCAAGAGCUUUUCAGCCUCCCUAAACAUGGAUUUGAUGUCUCUGUCACUCAGCAACAAUUGCAUGAAGAGCAUGAUCACCAGCACAAUAUGUACUAUCCUUAGCAGUCGAUUUGUAUUCCAUAAACAUAUUCUCUAUGUUCUUUUGUUCCAUUUAGUUAAAUAUUUUUUUUCAAGAUUAGACCAUGCAAUUCAUACUUUGGUAAAUAUUAGAGAAUAUUUAUUAAAACUACUGUUAGUUGCAUCAUUAUUUAUGGAAUAUCUAUGUUGUUCAUUAGAUUUUUUUCCCCAGCCUUUACAAAGCAAGGUAAUCAUUGUCUUCAUUUGAGCAUACAGUGACACUAAUUUCGGGAUGAACUAGGGGAUGUACCUUAUGUACCCUUCUUCCAUGUGCGUAGGAUUAAGAAAUUACUCACAUUGAUUUAAUUUGCAUUAUUUCUAGAAAGUUGGAAGUACAUUUGAAUUUGGUGCAAUAACUAAUCCCAAUUAGCACAAGUAGUUUUAUGUGGCUUUAUUGAUAACUUCUUCGAAUUUGCAUGAACUAGCACUUUUACCUGUUGAAGAGGUGAGUAUCUUUUUGCAUUUUGUGCACCUGAAUCAAUGUCUAUUAUGUGAGCAACGCCUUAGAUGAAUUGUUCACAUGAGACAUUAUAAGCUAAAAAGGCAGAUCCAAUUUGUCUACUUCUGAUUAAACGUCUACUACUAAACCAUGUUUCUAGUGGGAUCUUCUUUAUAACCAUGUUUACACAUGCAUAAAUAACUAUAUAUAUGCACACAUAGACACACAUUUGGAUCCUACGUAUAUCAUGGGGACUCCUUUCCUAAACAUCAUAAUAGUUAAUUUUUAGAUUUCACUUUAACAUUUCAAAAGAGUAAACUAAUGAUCCUACUUGCAUGGGUUUACUUAUUGGUGAUCUAACGAGUUUGAAUGUCUAUUAUAAUUUAAGUGAAUGCGUUUAUGGGAACUAUUUAUAUUUUGAAGUCGAUAAUGAGUGAUGUCCUUUUCCUAGCAUUCUUCUAUAUAAUGAGUCAAAUUCCACAAUGUAAUUCUUUUUCUUCUGAUGUUCACUCAUAAGUUAUAAUCUUUUAUAUAAUUACUUUCAAAGAAUCAAUAAAUUGGAUAACUUUCUAUUCAUCAAUUUUUUUUGUUUCAGUUAUGGAAAUCAUUUCAUAUAGAAAGAUAAGAGGGAUGAAAACAAACUUUCAAAUCCACUAAAUUUUGAUUUCACAGAUGUUCAUAAUUAUUGACAAAUCAAUUUUUAUUUUUAUUUUUUUCAAAUUUUCAGAUAAUGAAAUUUUAUACAAAGGCUCCAUUGCACAACAUAUUUAUCAUGAUUGCAAACGAGGAUUAUGAUUUCAAGUUUUUUAUGUUUGUAGGGUUCUAGUGGAUCUCUACAUGCUUUACAGUUCACAUUUAUUUUUGUAACUCCUAACUUCGCUUUUUCUCACCCUAUAGGGAUGAAUCUUUGAAAGAACACAUAAAGUUCCUAGAAACUCAAGGUAUAGCAGGAGUUAGCCAUCACAAUUUGCUUUUCUCCAAGACAGCACGCGUACUAGUUGUAGAUGAAGAAGAGGAAGUGGCAAGGUUGGAUCUAUAUUUUUCACCUCAUAUUUUUAGUUAAUGAUAAAUAUAUUUUGUCUUGUUUAUUUGCAUGUGACAGGAUUAAGAAUGAGAUAAUUUUGAAUUUUAAAUAAUCUAAGGUGUCAUUUAUUUUUUGGUUGAAUAGAAAAAGUUAAAAUAUUGGGCUUUUUCUAUUUAGUUAAAAGUAACUUAUUGAUAUUAACCAACAUAAUCGAACCUAUUGAUAACAAGUUCACUUUAGUUAUGUUGGUUAAUAUCAAUAGAUUACCUUUAGUUAAAUAGAAAAAGACAAAUAUUUUGACUUUUUCUAUUCGGCCAAAAAACAAAUAACUAAAUUUUGUAAGAUAGCUAGUGCACCAUUUAUCUUGCUAAAAAUUCACUAGCUCUGGUUUACAAAGUUACUGCUCUAUUUGAAGUUUCAACAAUUUUGUUCAUCUCUUUACUGAAGUAAAUUUUGCAUGGUACUCUUUUUUUUUCAUUUCUCCUUUUGAGUUUUGUAAAGAUACUUCUAAUUUUGGUUUCCAAGAGUAGAACAUAAUGUUAAAAUUAGUAUUUGGUUUCACUGCAAAAUAAGCAUGGAUUCUCAGCAUCACUACAUUAGCAUUGUUGGGAGCUAUGUUACAUGAGUUUGGGUAUAAGUGUUGGGGCGUAGUUAUGUGUCUAGGUGUUAGAUCCUUUGCAUCCCAAAAUCUUAAGACAUAGGGAUUUGACUAAAAAGGAUUUCAACUAUGGGUGCAAGUACAUGAAUACGACAUUAAUGAAAAAUAAAUUACCACUAGAUAUAAACAUAGUAAAAUAAGUUAUUUAAAAUACAACAUGAUUAAUUAUAAUUGGAGAAUAUACUAUGUUUUCUAUUUUAAUAAGAUGGUUAGCUUAUCUAAUUUUGAUGUUACUAUGAAUUUUACAUGAAUAACUUGUUUAUUGUGUCUUUUAUUUUAAUAGAAUGCUAAGAUAAAUUUUUAAGACAAUAUUAUACCAAUAAAUUUUGAUUGGUUUAAAAUUUUAAAAUUAAUGUUGAUUUUGUAAUAAAAAUGAAAAAUAUAUAUUAGGUAUUGAUAAAAUAUGAUUCAUAUUUAAUUUCUUAUCAUUCAAUUUUUUUUAUUUUUUAUAUUAAUUAUUUUAAUUUAUCUUUAUAUUUUUUAAACUAAUAAUUAUUAUAUUUAUUUUUAAAUUUUAUCUAUUAUAAUUUUUUAAAAAAUAAGAAUAUUUAUUAAUUUAAUCUAUUGUUAUUUUUUUUUAAAUGAAGAAAGGGAUAAAAGAGUUUUAAAUUAAUUUAAAAAUUCUUGACUUUUUAUUAUUAUUUAUUUUAUAUUGUUGUUUAGUAUACCUGGACACCAGCACCGGUGUUGUAUUUGAAAUAGGUAUUUUAGCUAAAAUUAAAGUGUCUGUGUAUCAUAGGUUGAGAGUAUAGGGUGAAUUGGUGCUUAUGUUGUUUUGACACAGGUAUUUUAGCUAAAAUUAAAGGGUUUGUAUAUCAUAGGUUGGGAGUAUUGGGUGAAUUGGUGCUAAGAUUUUGUAAUGUUAUUUUUGUUUGUUUCCUUUGUGUGAGUAUAGGGCCAGCAGGACGGGAACUACAUCCGUCAUGAACAAAUCUGCAGGCUCUUCACACGAACAAGAUGUUGAAUGGUACAUUCUUUAAAGAACAAUUCAAUGCACUUCAAGUGAUAAUCAUUUUAUAGUCAAGAACAUUGAUGGAUUUGCUGUGAACCUGUUUGACAUUUUCUAUCAGGGCUCAGUAUGCUUUCAAGCCAAAGGAGGUGAAUCUGCAUAAGACAAAUUCUUCUGCAGACAGUGCAGGUAAACUGACAGAAUCAGAGAUCAAAGGGAGAAUUAAUCGCCUGUCUCAAAUUUUGGCAAAUAAGGUAUUAUUUUAGUACCAAGUACAAUCUUUAGAAACUUUAUUAAUUGAUGUUUCUGUUUAAUCAAAACAUCGGGCCAUCAGCUGCUCCAGACUGCAAGAAAGGCUUCCAGUAGAGUUUAUGCCCUUCGCAAAACUGAGUUAUGACUUGCAAAAAGGACCUUCAAGCUCUAAUUUUGCUCUAUGUGACUUAUUUGUGUAUGUCUCCUUGUUUUUUAAGGCCAACAACAUGGGGGCACUGGCCUUUAGCUAGCCCAAAAUGCAACUUCACUGAAUAUAGUUGACUUAAGUUUGAACCAUCAUACGUGCAUAGGCCAAAUUUUAACCACUCCAACAUUUUUAGUGUUAAGCUGAACCCAUGCGGAUGAAAUCUUUGCUUUUCCUAUCAUCAAGCCCGGCACUCUGAUAACCAAGAGUGGUUUGGUUACCACUAUAAUCAGUUUAUUCCGUGUUUCUUUCUUUGUUUUCCCUCUUUCAAAAUAUUUAAUUUUUUUUUUCUUGGUCUCAAAAUAUUCUUCAGGCUACAGUUUCAAAGUUACCAGACAAGGGAGAGAGGAUACAAAAGCAGAUUGCUGAACUGAAUUUAGAGCUUGAUAAGAUGAGGAUGACAAAAAGAAUUGAAACGGAAGUUAUUGAUUUGGAUGAUGUGACCGGAAAGCUUGAGAAUGUGCUGAACCUGUAGAUGUUUGUCAUUGAGGAAGUGGAAAUCUUGGGGAAAAAGAAAAUUGUAUGUUUUAAUAAGUGAAGUGAACAAUCAACAAUACCCAUUAGAAAAAUAGGAGCAGCUGUUUUUCAUCUUGUAGCUCCACAAGAAUAGCCUUUCAGGUUGCACUUCUGCAAUCUAUGGGUGAGUUAGAAGGUUUUAAAAAUUACUAUUGCUAGUUAGUUUACUUGGCAAGAGAGGCCAUCUUUAUUAUUAUUUUGAUAAAUGAUGAAACUAUUAUUGUAAAUUUAAAUGUUUUAAGUUUGAGAUUUUAUUUUAUUUUAAAUUUUCUUCUCUCCUCUCAUGUUGUUUUGAGACACUGCUUUAUUAGACCAAUAAGAAAAUAGUAAUCAAGAUAAGCAAAUUGCCACUGUUAGUAGGAAAUUUAAAAGUUUCUUGAUCCCACAAUUCAUUUUUCUGCUCAAUUUUGCGCCAUGAUGCUUGAUUGCAUUAUUGUACUCUUGAACCUAUGCUUCCACUGAUAUGAACAACAAUCCACCUCCGUUGAGAUCUGUCCUUGGCCCUCAUGGUGAAAUUGAGGAAAGCGUUGUUGGAGAUUUCCAUUAUAUAAGGCAAACUAAUGAAUUAAGACUUCAUGAUGGCCCAAUUAUUUUUCCUGUGGUCCAAAAAGGGAAUGGUUCAACCUUCCGUAAUCCACAGAUCACAGUGCAGUUUGUAGAGCCACCUUUUCUUCCACUUUUUCUUUAAACGAAGAAACAAGAAAUGGAAAGUGGAUUUUGGAUCAUUUUGGAAGUUAGGAGUUUAUAAGACGUGUGUUGUGCACCCCACCCCCAAAUGUGAAUGGGUCAUAAAUUAUGUUAACAAUAUGUCUGCAUUUCUAUGUAAGAGGUAUGGGCUUAAUAGGUACUAGGUUAAGUAGGUAAGCCACGUUCUCAAAGACAUCCCCAAAAUGAUAUAGGAAUUGAUAAGCAAUUCAUCAUAAAUCUUACUAUGUACAUCAAUGUUUGAUUUCUUGUUUCUACUAUUCCAUUUUGUUGUGGAGUUAUUGGUGCACUCAAUUAGGAUAUAAUCUCAUACUUCUUAAGGAAAGAAUCGAAUUGGGUGGAUGUAUACUAAUCACCUUGACCAAAUCAAAGUGCCUUGAAAUGUUAACCCAGUUAGUUUUUAAAUUUUGUUUCAAAUUCAAUGAAUUUAUCAAAGCAUUGGAUUUUCUAUUCAUUAGAUAAAUAUAUCCAAACCUAUAGUAAUCAUUUGUAAAGGUGAUGAAGUACUCAUACCCUUAUACAUAGAUAUUAAAAAUCUCACACACAUUAGUAUGAACUAACUCCGGACAUUCCUUAGCUCUAUAUUCUUUAGAAGUAAGGGAUCUCUUGAUCAUUUUAAUAAUAACAUGUUUAUUAAAAAAACGUUGAAUAAUUCAAUUUACAUAAAUUAAAAAUUGAAAUCAAAUUCUUUCUAAACUUAGGAACAUAAAGACAAUCUUUGAGAUAUAGAAGACAAUUAUUCUCUAAGAUAAGGAUAACGUCUCUCACUGCCUAUACAAUUAUUCUCACAUCAGACGCUGGAGUCAGGUACAUGUUCCCAUUAUUUAGGCUUCUCCUUAACUGAAAUCUCUGUAAAGAAGAAUAAAUAUGGUAAGUGGCCUCAAAAUCUAUCCACUAAGAGUUGUAGAAUUCACCACUAAACAUGAUUCAAUUAAAAAUGAAUGAUGCAUACAUUGCUUUUUCUUUAGGAAUUGAGGACACUCCUAGUGGCAUUUCUUUUCAUAAAGGAAGUACUUGCACUUUUCCUUGCUCUUCUUACGCCCUUUCUAAACUUUCCCUUUUGUUUGGUGUUUUCAAAAUUGUUCUUCUUACUAUAAGAACCCUUAAUUACCAUAUGAACACCCUUUUGGUUUUUUAGAAUCUCCUCAGCCAUCCAGAGUUCCCUCAUAAGCAUUGUCAAGUUCAUUAAUAACUUAUUCAUAGUAUAGCUAAGCUUAAAACUACUAGAAGGAAUCCAACAAGGUCUCUAAAACCAUUUCAACCUUGAUUUCCUUGUUGAUCUCAGCUCCAAGGAUCUCUAUCUUGUUAAAGAGUUUAAUCAUAUGUAUUAUAUUAUCUCUAACAAAAAAGUUCCUUCUGGAAUCCUGAGGUUCAUAAUAGUCUUAAGAGUAGUCAGUUUAGUUGACUUGCCUUUAUUACCAAAUAUCUCUUACAAACUGAAAAGAAUAACAUAAGUUGUGGCAAUAGGCACGUGUCGUUGUUGCAACUAUAGGGAAUCCUAGUUAGAUCACUCUAUUCCCUAUCUCAAGAUCAAGUUAAGAUCAUAAAAACUUUCAUAGGCUUUUUCUAAACCCUAUGCACAACAACAAAAAAAUUACAUUUUAAAAUAAGAGCAAGAUUUUGAAUGUGCAACCAAAAACAUUGUCUUGGAUUUGGACGUUCCCAAAUCUAUUCCUUUUGAUGUAUAUGAAGAUUGAAUUCUUCGAAAGUCUCGUACACCCAAUAUCUUUCACUCGAUGACUAUUCCUUAAUCUUGAUACUCAAUGGGUGAGGAGAAAGGGAAGGUGGAGGCUAUGAUUCUCUCUUUUUCUUCAUUCCUAAAUGGUUAUUUAUAUAAUUCCCUAACUAAGCUUAGGUGACUUGAGCCCACCAAGGACUUGGGUCACUGAAUCUAACCCAAAAUAGAUCCUAAUUGAUUAAUUGACCUAAUAGAAUCAACUAAAUAAUAAAUUAACCCAACCCAGAGACUUUGUUCAUUGACUAUUGUGUAACUUUACAUAAUUACCAAAACACCCUUAUGCACAAAAGUGAAUCAAGAUUCAAUCCAAUCCUCAUAAAUCAUGUUGUCAAGGAAUAUGAGUUCAAGUAAGGACCAUUGGGACCCAUAGGAUAGUAUUGAUUCCCUCAAAAUCCAAUUAUGAAGUGGACUUAGUAUCCCACUUUUAAAGAGUCAAUUGCACUCCAAUAUCCUAUGUAUAUUUCAACAAGACACCAACUCAGGUUUAUGACCUACUAUCCAUUGUAUGUAGUCUCCCUAUGAAUUGGUUGUCUAUAGUCUAACAAGGUGAAAGUUAUUAGUCUUUCAAGACUAUCUCUACUAUCCUUAAGUUAUAUAUCCUCCUAUUAUGUGAUCAAGUAAUAUACUCUAACUCAUUAAGAGCAUAUGUCAAAUUCGAAUGAAUGAAUUACUACAAGCCCAUUGAUUUUGUUAGGACAUUGAGUUUGGAUUGUAUGUUAGUAAUUUUGUUCUUUUUUUAUGUUUGGGCAUAGAAGUCUUUUUAGAUAGUGACUUACUCUCCAUUGAAGAUUAAGGGUUGUUGUUUGUCUAAUCACAAAGUCAAGGUAUGUCUAAAAAAGAUUGACUUGUGACAUGUUAGGCUCCUAUGAGGUAUAAAGAGAAUUAAUUUUGUUUUUAAACUUAAAAUGAUUUAAAAUUAAUAUUUUAAUAAAAAUGGCAAGAUUACUCAAACACUCUUUACCGUUCAAGCACCCGAGGCGCUCAAGCGGUGGGUUAGUCGGCUUAAGUGGUCAUGUUAUUUAUGCCAAGAAUUUUUCAUGCAAAUUAGAUUUUGAACUAUUCCAAAACUGAAAUUCUUUAAGCUUUUGGCUAUAUAUACCUCAUUAUAACCCCCUUGAGGGUAAAAAGAUUGGAAAGAGAUCAAAAACUUUUUUAAAGAGUCUCAUCGAGGAGAAAGCCUAAAGUGCCACACCAUUCCCAAUCUCUCGUUCAAGGAUUUGAUAUUUGAAUCUUGGGUUGAAGAUAUGCAUCCCUUUAGCAAGGCUAAAGUGCAUUUACUAGAACAAUCGAAGGUUGUUGCGUUGCGAACAUGGAUCAAGUUGUAAGUACUAGAGAGCAAGUCUUUAGGGUAAAGUUGAUAGGUAAAUUUGUGUAACUUGAUUUCAUAUAGUGGAUUUAGAUUAGUGGUCUUAGACCUCGUGGUUUUUUAUCCCCACAGUUAGUGUAAGGGUUUUCCACAUAAAAAUCUCUUAUGCUUCAUUGCUUAUUAUUUGAUAUCUUGUAUGAAUUGCCUACAAUAGAAAGAAUUGAUAUACUCUAAUACCUCGUAGGAUAGAAAAUUGGGUAUGACAUAUAAAUCUUUAUUUAAUUUUUUUUAAUACAACUAUUCAACCCCUCUCUAGGUGUUACCCAUUGGACUUAAAGGAUUUUUUUCUAUUGGUAUUAGAGCAGGACAAAAAUCGAUUUUUUCUUAUCUUAUUGAUUAAAAAUUAAAAUUUUCUUAAUCCUAUUCGAUUAAAAUCAAAUUUUUUUUUUAUUAUUCAUAUAGGAUAACAAAUUCAAUUUUUAUUGAUCCUAUAAGCCCAAUAUGGAACAUUCAAAGACAAAAACACCUUUGAAUAGUUUAGCCUACUUUGAUGGGAGUAACUAUUCCCAUUGGAAAGCUUUAAUGAUGUUUUUCCUUAGAAUGCAAGGCAAAAGGGUAUAGAAUUCAAUAGAAUAUGGGGUCCCCCAUUGAUCCUUGAUGCUCAAGAAAGAUCAACGGGAGAACUGAAACCUAAACACGAAUGAGACAAAGCCGACAAUGAAGGUAGUAAAACCAAUGCUAAGGCUUUAUUUAGUAUUUUUAACGUAGUUUAUCUAGAUGAGUUUCAUAGGAUAACAAAUUGUAAAUGUGCAAAGGAAGCAUGAGAGAUACUCUAAGUUACUCAUGAAGGUACAUUUGUUGUAAAGAUCUUUAAAUUGCAAAUGCUUGUCACCAAAUUUGAGAAUAUUAAGAUGCUUGAAAAUAAGAACUUUUCUUCUUUCUAUUAUGAAUUGAGUGGUAUUAUUAAUUGUUCUUUUAACCUUGGAUAACCUAUUAUUGAUUAUAAAGUUCUUAGAAAAAUAUUGAGAUAUUUGAAAAACCAAAAGUCUAAUAGGGAACGACAAUUGAGUUGUUUAAACCAAUUAUUGUCAAAGACUUAGCUAUGACUUGAAUCAUACCAAAGUGUAUAAAGUUGUAGUAUCUCUUAUGUCUUUAUCUACUGUCCAAGAGUCUUAUCACUUGAUCUUCUUGUUCUAAGCUUAUGGUCCGUUCAAGUGUCUUAAUGGUGUAGUCUCUAAAGAACUUAAAGGUUCAUUUCUUACAAAUUUUUUUAUUAGAUACCUUGGGUAACUUCCAAUCAUCUAAAUCAUUUUGUGUCUUAGGAUAAUUGAUCUCUUCACUAUUUACUACAACUUCUUGAGAAUUUUGGAUUUGCCUAGACAUGGUUUUGAAAAUUGAACUCAUUUUAAGGUCUUAAUUUAGAGCCUAAUAGCAGAUUGACAAACUUAGUGAGUAAUCACCCCAACCCUUUUAUAAACCUAAAAAUGCUUAACAUCGGCUAACAACGGGCUCAACCCGAUAGGGAUCACCUCAGAUAGAUUGCUAUUUUACUAGGAUAGAUUUAAAACUCAAAAUAAAACCCGACUACCCUUUCUAGACGAGUUUGGCAUAGUAAAACAAUUUGGCAUAUAUAUAUAUAUAUAUAUAUAUAUAUAAUCCAACCAAGCAGAAUUUGGGAAAAUUCUGGUAUUUUCCUCCUAGCCAUAUGCAAAACUUUUAUUGACAUUUAUGCCCCUAAAUUUUUUGCCAAUUUCAGAAAAGCAGAGUACAUUUUUCUCACUUAACGAUUAGGAAUUAUGGAUAUAUAUAGGUAUUUAUCCUUGCGUUUCAUCUUUCCCAUCCAUUCCAUGGCCCUAGCGAUGAGUAUUCACCUCACGCGCCUCCCCCGCCACUUCCCUUUCCCUUCACUCUUUCCUCGCUUUCCUCGAAUUCUUAGCAACCCUUGUCAUCUCACUUCUCGCCGAAAACCACGUCGAACCUUCACUUUCUUCACCUGCAACUUCACCGUCGCCGCCACUUCCGCCACUUAUGGUACGGUUUUUUAGUUUAUUAUGAUUGCAGUUCUUUUAUUGGACACCCGUUCGGCUUUGAGAAAAAUGCUCUGAGAAAAAUGGAACGAAAGAAAGAGAAUUUUAGGAUCUUAUAUUUUUCAUUUUUCAUUUUUUUUUUGUUUUUUGUUUUUUCAGUUACUUCUGUUUUCCCACUUUAUCUGUUAUCAACCAAACCGUGAGGGACACAAUUUUGAAAUGAGGGUUGAAAUUUGCCAACUUAUUGAUAAAUUCGAUACAUUUUUUUUGUUAUUAUCCCGAGCAGAAGAUGUUGAUCUUGGUAGAAUUGGAGCGGAAGUAAAAAAAUUAGACGUUCAUGUUGCUUUAAGAUUUUAUUUCUCACAAAGUUUUGAUGAUUUUGUGCUAUAAGUUGUUGAAAAAAAUGAUGGAAAGAGGGGAAAAGAGAGAGAAUUUUGAAUUUGUAGUCUUUUGUGUUCUGAUUUGCUUUUUCUAUUCCUUCUUUUUUCCCCAAACAAAGUGAAACAUGGAUGAUUGGAUGAUCAGCAAAAAAUUUCAAAUGCCAACUGAAAUUUGCUAAUAUACUAAUAAUUUGGGUCGUGCUUAAGGUUCAACUAAGGAGUGGGAGAGAGUAAUUUUUUGUUAGAACUGAGGCUGGAGUGGUAGACAAGAAGUUUAUACUGCUUGAAGUUUUUAUUUCACCCAAAAUUUUGAUAACAGCAUGUUUGUUUGCUAAGUAAACUAUGGAGAUUGGGAGGAUCACAUUUUAGGGCCUUCAAUCUUUGCUGCCAAGACCAUUGUCUGACCAUUCAAAUUUGAAAACAUGUGGUCAAAGGUGGAAGGCUUUUCAGAUAAAAUCAAAGAGUGGUGGUAGACUUAUAAGCGUUGAAAAAUGGCUUAAAUAAGUGGAAUAAAGAGGUGGUUGAUAAUGUCUCAGCCAAGAAGGAUUUUGCUUUGGAGGUGAUAAACCAUUGGGAUAGUGUAGAAAGGCUAAGAACCCUGUUCGAGGAGGAUAGGAGAAGCUAGCAAAUUGCCAAAGAUAAGUACAGUUACCUAGCUAUUUUAGAAGAAACCUCUUGGAGGCAAAAGUCAAGGGCUUUUUGGUUGAAGGAAGGACAUAAUUACACCAAUUUUUUUCACCGCAUGGCUAAUGCAAGGAGAAAUAGAAAUUUCACCAGUAGUCUCACUAUUAGUUGUGGUCAAGUAGAAAAAGAGGAGGAGCUUAAUAAGGUAGUAUUUUUUCCAUUUUAAAGUAGUGAUUGAAGAACUCCAAGCGAGAAGACGUGAUUUGGCAACAAAACUAUUCAAGAGCAUUGAAUCUUUAGAGGAGGUGAUCAUAACACUUUCAAAAUUGGGGGUGACAAGGUGCUAGGGCUAGAUGGAUUUUCAAUGACAUUUUGGAAGUUUUUUUAGCCUAUAGUAGGCAGGGAAGUGAUGCAGUUAUUUGAGGAGUUCCAUUUGAAGAAUUCCAUGGCUCAUAGCUUUAAUGCAAUGUUUUUAGUUCUUAUUCCUAAGAAAGGAAGGGCUGCUGACGUGAAGGAUUUUAGGCUAGCCUGUAGGAGAGUCUUUAUAAGCUUCUAGCAAAAGUCUUAACUAAUAGGUUGAAAAUGGUGGUUGGCAAGGUGGUGUCAAACGGUCAAAAUGCUUUUAUGGGGGUAGAUAGAUUCUGGAUGCUGCCUUGAUUGCAAACGAGACUAUUGACUCAAGGAAGCGUAGUUCCAAUGCAAGCUUAGUUUGCGAACUUGAUAUAGAAAAGGCUUACGAUCAUGUAAGCUAGAAGUUCCUUCUCUAGUCUUAGAAAAGAUGGGAUUUGGCCUCAAAUGGAGAUAGUGGAUUCUCUUUUGUAUUUCUUCUAUGAGAUCAACAAUUCUUGUUAAUGGCACCCCCACAAAUUUUUUCCUGACCUCUAGAGGUUUGAGGCAGGGGACCCUCUCUCACCCAAUCUUUUUGUAUUGGUCAUGGAAGUCCUCAAUGACUUAAUUGCAAAGGCUAAGCAGGGAGGUUUCAUUAAGGGCUUUAAGAUAGAGGGUAGAGGGAAAGAAGAAACACAAUCAUCACACCUAUUGUUUGCAGAUAAUACCUUUUUUUUUUUGUGAGGAUAAUGUAGAUUAGUUGAAAUAUUGGAAGUGAAUUGUCAUUUACUUUCAAUUAGUGUUAGGAAUGAAAAUAAAUAUGCAAAAAAGUGAAAUUAUUCUAGUGGGGAUGACAAAGGAUGUAGAUAGAGCAACUUUUGUCUUUGGGUGCAAAUUAGGAAAACUUACUAUUGACUCCUUGGGCCCCCUCACAAACUUUGUGGUGUUUGGGAUACAAUUGAGGAGAGAUUUAAAAGGAAAUUGACUGUUUGGAAAAAAAGAUACCUAUCCAAAGGAGGAAGACUAGUCCUUAUGAAGAGUACUCUAUCAAAUCUUCCUAUCUAUUUUAUGUCCCUCCUUACAGUCCCUAGAAAAGUGAGGAUUGGAUUAGAAAGAAUUCAAAGAGACCUUUUAUGAGGAGAUUUGAGAGAAAGGAGAAAGAUGUAUUUUGAUAAAUUGGCCAGAUGUGUGUAAGGAUAAAAAAAUGGAGGGUUGGGGUUAAGAAGAUUGGAGGGUCUUAAUCAAGCCUUGCUAGGCAAAUGGUUAUGAAGGUUUUCUAUUGAUCAUAAGAGCUUGUGGAGGAAGAUCAUUUGUGGAAAAUUUAGGAAGAUGGAGGGGGGAUGGACUACUAGAGGGGUGAGGAAUUCCUUUGAGAUGCGCUUUUGGAAGGAUUUUAGAAAAGGGUGGGAAGAAUUUAGUGUUAGAACUUCUAUCUAAAUAGGGAACGAUCAACGUACAAGAUUUUGGUGAGACAAGUAGGUGGAGAAGGUUAAGUUGAAAGAUGCAUACCCUACUCUUUUCAGGACAGCUUCCCACAAAAAUGCUACAGUUGUAGACUUAUGGGAAGAGAAAUGGGUAGAUGCAGGUGUUGGGAGGAUCAAUGUAGAAGACCGUUCCAAGAUUGGGAGAUGGAGGAGGUUACCCAUUUUUUUGGAGCUUUUUCACCCAUUAAAAGUGCAAGGAAGGAACACUUUAAUUUGGAAAGAUGAUAAGUGGGGAAAUUUUAGUGUCAAGUUGUAUUACAUUUCCCUAAGGCCAGAGAAUAAUUUAGUUUUUCCAGGCAAGAAGAUCUAGGGAUCUUGUGCUCCUCUUAAAACUUGCUUUUUUUUAGGAAGCUGUUUGGGGGAAGAUCUUAAUUGGGGAUAUUUUAAUGAAGAAGGGAUGACAAAUGGUCAACAGAUGUAGGCUUUGUAAAGAUAGUGAAGAAUCAACCGAUCACAUACUCAUUCAUUGUGACAAGACGAGAAAGCUAUGGACCUUUUUCUUAGCAGUCUUUGGUUUGGUUUGUGUGUUUCUGACCUCGAUGAGAAAUCUCCUCCUAUAGUGGAAAGGUAAGGGGCUACAUAAGAAGAAAAAAAAUUGUUUGACACUUGGCCCCAAUUUGCUUAUUUUGGUGUAUUUGGAAAGAGCACAACUGAAGGACUUUUGAAGAUGAAGAGCUUCCAGAUUAGUGAUUAAAGGAUUUCUUCAUUUGGUUGCUCUUAGAGUGGUCUCGAGAUUCUUUAGAGUUGGAGAACCCCUUUAUUUUGAUUUCCUAGAUGCUUUUUAUUGUCAUUAACUUUGCCAUGUUUUUGUAGGUUUUCUUUGUUUGUUGCUUGCUUUAGGUUGCUUUUGUGUGCAUUGCUUGUAUAUGUAGGGCAUGCCUGUGCUUUUUUGGCUGCUUCUUAAUACAUGAUCUUGUUGUCUAUCCAAAAAAAAAAAAAAAAAAAAUGAUUGGAUGCUCACAAUUUUUUUUUUUUAAAUGCCUAUGGAAAUUUGCCAAUAUAUUGAUAAUUUGGUUGUGUUUAAGGUUCAACUAAGGAGUGGGAGUAAGUAAUUUUUUUUAGAAUUGAAGUUGAAUUGGUAAAGCAGAAGUUUAUGUUGCCUAAAGUUUUUAUUUCUCCCAAGAUUUUGAUAACAACAUGUUUGCUUGCUAAGUAAACUAUGGAAAGAAGGGAGGAUUUUGAAUUUGUUUAUGUUCGGUAUUCUAGUUGCAUUAGUUUGUUUCCCACUUUUUGCCUCUAAGAAUUGUAUCAUAAACAAGAAAAUUUUUGGAAUGGUAUUGAAACUUGAUUGAAUUUAGGUUCAACCUUCAACCAAGGAGUGUGAGAGGAUAAUUUAUUGUCAAAAUUGAAGUUGGGACAGGAAACUAAGAGUUUAUGUUGCUUAAAAUUAUUGUUGAUCCCAAAUUUUAAUAAUGCUAUGUUCGGUUGGUGAGAAAAAUGAUGAAAAAUAGAAGACGAUUUUAAUUGUUGUACCCUUUUGUAUUUUAGUUACUUCUAUUUCCCCCAUUUUUGUUACCUACCAAACUAUGAUUAAAUUUGCUUGUGCAUUGAUAGUUUUGAUUAAAUUUGAGGUUCAACUAAGGAGUGGGGUAUUUUGUUGUUUGAAUUGAAGUGGAAGUCAAGGACUAGAAGCUCAUGCUAUUUAAAAUUUUAUUUCCCCUAAAUUUUGAGAAUGGUAUGUUCUGUUAGAAAAUUUUUGAAGUGAGUGUCAAAUUUUGCCAAUGAAUUCUUAAUUUUGGUGGAAAUUGAGAUUCACUUGAGGAGUAUGAGAGGGUAAUAUUUUUCUAGGAUUGAAGCUAGAGUUAGAAAUUAGAAACUUAUGUUUCUUAAACUUUUACUUCAUGGCAUGUUUGGUUGCUCAAGAAAAAGGUGAAAAAGAAAAAGACUUUGAAUCUUGUAUUCUUUUGUGUUCAUGAUUCAAAGUUGUGGUAUUGCUUACUGACUUAGCAGGUUUUGAGGUGCAUUGGUCCUAAUACCUCGAAUCAAUAUUGGGUGAUAUACAUAAUAUGCUAAUUAAAUAGCUCAAAUAGUUCUAAAACAAUAUUAAAUUUUUUUAUAAAAAUAGUUAGAAUUAGAUGAACUUGAAAAAUUAAUAAAAUAAAACAUUUAUGAAAUUGACAUUAUCUAAAUAGUCAUAAAAGCAAGCGGAUUGGUUUACGACAAUGUUAAAAGUUAACAUUCUUAAAACAUUUUGAAUUUCUUAUUUUUACUCAUAUAUUGAGACAUGUUUAAUUGAACGAUGAGGAGAAUCUUUGACAAAAUUUAGAGAUUAUUUUUUUCCUUCCAUUUUCAUUAAAUCCAAGACAUGGUGUUUAUAACUUUGAGUCAUCCUGUGCAUUGGCCGAAUUAAGCGAUUCAUAUUUGGGUUGAAACUAAGUUAUUUGUAAACCACACGAUAGCAACUCGCAUAUUAAAGAAAGCCUAAUGAUCAUGUAGACUGGACUUUCCUUCUUUCGGUUAUGCAAAAAAUGAGUCUUGGGAGAAAUGAAUUGAGUGAAUCAAGUGGUGUAUUUCCAUAGAAAAUUUCUCUAUUUUGGUCAAUGGUACCCUAACAGGCUUUUUUCAAAGCUCAAGGGGUUUGAGGUAGGGGGAUACUCUCUCACUCUAUUUAUUUGUGAUUGCAAUGGAGGUGUUCAAUUGCCUUUUAAAGAGGGCAGUGGAUGGAGGUUUAGAUUGGAAAAAGGGUUUAGAUUUCUCAUUUGUUGUUUGUUGAUGACACCUUGGUAUUCUACCAAGUCUCUUAAGAUUAGAUGACCUAUCUUUGUUGGUUGCUUAUGUGGUUUGAGGCCAUUUUGGAAUUGAGAACAAAUUUAGAUAAAAACGAAUUAAUUCCUAUGGGAAGGGUGGAAAAUAUUGAUGACCUUGUUUAUGAGUUUGGAUGCAAGGUGGUUAGUCUCCCGUCCACUUACUUGGGCCUCUCUUUGGGUGCACUGUUUAAAUUAGUGGCAACUUGGGAUUGUGUGGAAGAGAGGUUUCGUAGAAGGUUGGCUAUGUGUAAGAGACAAUACAUUUUUUUUUGGCUAAUUCCUACUUUCUUUUUUAACCCUCCUUUCCCAAAUGAAAGUGCUCAUUUCCUUUUUCAGAUCGAGUGGAUAAGUGGUACAAAGCACUUGUGUGCAUUGCGGUUUUGGUGGUAACUUGACCAUGGUAUUGGUGUUUUACCUGUGGUUAGGCUGGUGUAGUGUGAUGUGUUGUUGUGGAAGUGAUGGAAUGAGGUGUUGGUAUUAUAUUGUCAGUGGUGUGUAAGGCUAGUUGCAUCGAUUGUGUUUUCUUGAAAUUUUUUGUCAAGAAGCUUUAUAAAAUUAGUAUAUUUUAGUGUGUGUGUGUGUUUAUUUUUUAUUUUUAUAGCUAGGGUUACCUUUAUGCCCAUGAAUAAUUUGUUUUGAAAUAAAAGGGUAUGUCUUGUAGUAAGAGUGGCACUGAAAAUUAAACUUUGAGUCUGCUUCAAAUAAUCUUUGCUUUGUGGAAUAGCAAUAGGUGGUUGAUGGAAGUUUUGAUAUAACUUCAUUGAUUAGGUGUGGUAUGGUGAUUAAGAAACAAGUAAUGGUUAUUAGAGAAGAUUAAUCGCUUGAGAAGGUGUUGAACUAACUUUUCCUUCUCAUUGUACAUAAUGCUAUAGAUGAAAAGGAAGACUCUAAUUAGUAAUUGUAUCAUGAUCAACGCAAGACUCAAGAUUCCUUGGCUAGGCAUAUCUUGUGGCAGGUGAGUUCUCUAAGACAUCAACUUAUGAUCCAUUUUAGUAUGAAAGUAUUCGUGUUAGACAACUUGAGCAAAAGGAGGAGUGUCUUGGGAGGAGGUUUUGUUUGAGAGUUUUAAAAGAUCACUUCAAAGUGUCUCAAUUAAUGGUAUAUAUCAAGAUCUUAAUUAGGAUAUGUAUUGCAAUUAACCUUGAAGAUCUCUGUCUUAGUGAUCAUUGUUAAUCUGCAUUGAUAAAGUGUGUUGGAUUUUCAAAUCUAAAUUCCAUCAUACACUCUUGACCAUAAGAAGACAAUAAUUAAAUGGAAUACCUAGUCGUGAGGUGAAAACCAUGAGUUGCCUUGGCUACUUAAAAAUCCACUGUUGAAAGAUCAAAUUAUAAAGAACGAUCUUAUUCAAACUGAGUCAAUAAAGAUCCUUAUCUAACCUACUUGUCUCAUGCUUUUCACAAUCAAUCUUUAAUUUUUCAUCAACCCAAAGUUACAUCUACUCACUUGAAAUUGCACAAGGUAGGCUUCACACCAAUUAUUGAGGUCUCUCUAACUUGGAUAUCCAAAAUCACUCUGGAUUCGAUCUCCAAACUAACUUUGGAUUUGACACCAAAAGGAAUAGAAGGAUCGUAGACAAGAUCCAUAUUGGAUCUAAGUCAAUGAUGAAAUUCUCUCAAUUUCACAUAAGAUCUAGGUUGCUUAAUUCAAACCAUAGAAAAUGCUUUCAAAGUGGUCUCGCUCCAAGCUUAUUGAGAGUUGUUACGAAUGAGAUGAACCCUUAUAGGUGUUUAGAGGUUCAUGACAAGCUUCACAACUACUUUUUAGUUGGAAAUUUUUAAAAACAUGUGAGCACUCAAAAUGAGUUUUCUGCUCUUUCUUGCACACAUAUGCAAGCUUCUUGUUAGAAUGUGCAAGCAAGACAAUGAGAAUCACUCUCUGGUGCAUUAAUUUGCUUAGGUGUGUAAGUGGAGACUUAAGAAAUAUAUUCUUUUUUAAAUCAAUGUUCACAUUUAAAAUCCUCUUGUGCAUGUGUGCAAGAGACAUAUUGAGAGCUUGCACAUGAGCACAAGAAAAGAAGGAAACCAUGUCUUCUUUGACCAGCCUUGUGCAUGCACAAGCACCCUUGCACAUAUGCUCAAGUACCCUCAUGCAUGUGCACAAGGUGCAUUAGAGAAGACUUGAUCUUUCAGCAGAGUUGUGCAUAUGUGCAAGCAUUGCUGUGCACGUGCCCACUUCCCUGCACACUGCUAGUUGAGCCUCUAUAUGGUUCAUAAUAUAUGAUAGCAAUUCAGUCUUGUAUGAUUCUGAAACAAUUUCACCUUACCAACAUUAACUUGGCCAUCAAAUUAAUGUUAUCUUUGGCCAAGCAUCACCAACGUUGAACUGAAGUUGUCAUUGAUUUAUCUUAUGAACUUAAGUUGAUAUCCAACCUAAACUAGAACUUAAAUUGUGAUGAAAUUACCAAUAUAACACCACAUUUAUAGGUUUGUUUAGAGUUCUCCAUAUAUGGUUUGUUUAUAUAUUUGUUUACUUUAUUUUACUUUGUUGGAUAUCGUCGCCUUUAAUGAAUUUAAUAUGCUUCAUAAGGAGAUUUUUAUAUGUAAGAAUUUAUUGUCUGGAAAUAGAAUAUUGUAAUCCCAUCAAGAAACUUGAGGAUAUAAGGGGAUUGUUCUGUGUCAUUAUUGUUUAUAUUAAUUUUUAUCUAAGUUAGCACAGUUCUAAUGGAACUUCCAGAUUAUCCCUUUGCAUAAACAAUUUUAUUUAUUAGGUUUGCCUGUCACUUCCCUUGAAUUAAAACUUCAAAUCAAUAAAAUGAUUUAUGUACUCAUUACAUUUCAGGCAGGAAUGAUAAUGUUGGGGCAGAUAAUGAAAGAUAUGAUGUUAUUGUGGUUGGAGGAGGCCAUGCAGGCUGUGAAGCUGCCCUUGCAUCUGCUCGUUUAGGGGCAAAAACUCUUCUUCUUACUCUAAAUAUUGAUAGAAUUGCAUGGCAGGUAUGUAUUUUAAUAUUUAGUGGCUCUAUCUUCAUCAUAUACUCUUUAACUUUUCUUUUCAACAUUAGAAAACUCUACUGACGUGAAGUGAAGUUUUCACAUUAUAGAUAAAAGGUUUUAUCCAAUUGAUUUAUGUGUUCAACUGUAGCUAAGAUUUACCCAUGUGUGUUUUGGCUGUGAAAGCUUGUUUUGGCAGACACAGGAUUUAAAGUUUGGGUGGGCAAUUGGCAAAUGCAUGUGAUUUUUAUUACACUUAUUUUGUUCACUAUGAUUAUACAUCUGAACUCUAAUACAUGUGAUUUUCACUUUUGUAUGUACAGUGUACUGGUGGUCUUAGUAAUUGAAGAGAGAAGAUAGGAAAAAAAAUAAGGGGGGGGGGGGGGGGUCGGUCUGUGGAGGACAUUAUUAUUUUUUUAAUAUUACCUAUAAUUUUUUUUUUUUUUCCAAGUUGUGGGGAUGAGUGUUUAUUUAUUUAUCCAGGGGAUUUAGUUCACUCUAUUCGCACAUGGUCUUCAUUUGCUUUACUUGUGAACCAGGGUGCUCGUUGCCAACUCAUGCUGGUGUUGAGUGUUGUGGCAACAAAAGGAACACCUUAUCUUUGUUUUGAGAUAGAGCUUUUUUAUGCUGAUUAUGUCCUUCGCAUUCCCAUUUUCUUGCCUUUUUUCACUGUGAUAGAUAGCUAAUUUUGUUUUAUUAUUAUCAUUAAAAGGUGAAACCACUUUCAGGUUCAACUGAACCUGAUUUAUCCACAUGAUGUUACAUUUUCUUUAUGGUAACUGCAAAUCUAUCUUGUAAAUCCAUGUUCAAGAGAGAUAUCUUUGUUCCAUAAGAAAUGUCAAGCCUAUGAAAAUAUUUUCUUACCAAGAGAAGUAUGGUGCAGCCUUGUAAUCCUGCUGUAGGUGGACCUGCAAAGUCACAAUUGGUACAUGAAGUGGAUGCACUCGGUGGUGAAAUUGGAAAAGUUGCUGAUAGGUAAUGCCUAAAAGCUGUCUAAUUUUGUCUGACAGCAAUUGUUACUUGCUUUGAUGUUUGUAAAUUGAUUUUGGUUUAUACACUUUACUAUUUUAUGGCUGAUCUUUCACAUGCAAAAUUUUUUUAACUGUUGCUUGCAUCCAAAAAAUUUGAACUUGUAGUAGAUAAGUUUGCAAUUUUUUGAUUAAUAUAUGCUUGUAAAAGCACCCAGCUAUAACACAAACCUGAACACUGGUGGUGCAGAUGUUUAUGUGUGAUGGUAGGUAGGGGUCUUAAUAUAUGGAAGAAUAAACUCAUAAAUUUUAAACCUUAAGAAUAUUCUUGUGCAAAUGAUGCAUACCUCAUGGAGAGGAAGACAAAAACAUAAUCUGUGGUGAAGGAAAGAGAAAAAGGGGGUAUACUGUUGUUGCAUUUUCAAGUAUAGGAACAUGUGUUAUAAUAAAUGAAAAUGACUCAAAUAGGACACUGUUUGUCUGAGACAAGGGUUCCAGUUUCUAGCAAUUGGCCCUCUUGCCUUAAUUGACUCAAGAGUCUUAAAUUGAGAAUUGUAUUCUGGUUAUGUUACUUCCAUUCAAAAGCUUAGACUGUGAACUUACUGAGGCUUUUCACUACAAAAUUUGGUUUUCUGUGCAUCAUUUGUGGCAUUUGCCAAAGCCAUGUGAUUACAAAUUUCAAGCAACAACUUUCCUUUUUUAUAAUAUGAUUUUGAUUGAGAGAUAUGUGCAACUGAAAAUCAUUUUCUUCUUUAUGCUCCAGGUGUUAUUUACAAAAACGUGUUCUAAACAUAUCAAGAGGUCCUGCUGUUCGGGCAUUGCGUGCACAGACUGAUAAGAGGGACUAUGCUUUGCAAAUGAAAAACAUUGUGGAGAGGCAAGCUUAGUUUUCUUCUUUGUUGGCAAAAAUAGUAGUAAGAGUAUCAAUUUCCAAUUGGCUCAACUAGAGGCAGUGGAGAGCCAAGUUUAUUUGCUUAAUAGUUCUAUCAAUUGUUCUAGUCUCCAUUUUAUUGCUUGAAUGGGGGAAGUAUUGUGCAUGUCUUAAGCCUUCUAUGUUUUAGUAUUGUGGGAUUUCUAGUAUUAAGUCCUUUUUGUGGUUUGCUUUCAUUUCUAAGGCCUCCACUUUAUCAUGGGGUUUCUUCAAAACAUUCCUUGAGAUUGCCCCUAAGGUCCCCUUUGGGACCUCUGCAGACUUUUGUUAUCCCUUCUAUUCUCUUUGCUCUUAGACCUUGAUGACUCACCAUCCCCUGUGGUUAGCCGCCUCUACAAUUUUAAACCUACCAUCAACACCCUUCAAUAUCAUUUUGCUAGACUGACUAUUGAUUUGGUGUCCUUGUAAUAGGGUGGGGGUUUUAGAUAUCAGAGCCUAAUGGGUUUGACCACCAAAUGGAAGCAGAUGAUUAGGAUUUUUUUAAGCUAGAUGGUUUUGAGUUGACUGUUGAGGUUGAACUUCUAGAAUUACAGGAAGAUGUAAAAAAGGCUAAAUCCACCGUCUCAGGCCUUAAGUUGAGGGGGAUUCAUUGUAAACAUUUUCUUGGGUAACUUAGUAUAGGAAAUGGGGCAUAGACAUACUACCAUUCUAGAGACGAGCAUUACUUAAUUAAUCGAAAUUAGAUCGGCAAAUAAAAAAGCUAAUACCUUAGCCAAGAGAGUAGUUGUCUCCUCCACUAUCUUUAUAGGGGAUCCCUUGAGACCAUCAUGCCUUGGUCUUGUCUCCACCUCUACCUUUGUCUUGGGUAUAAAUUUUUAAAGUUGCUAUCUUUGCUAGAAGUUGUGUUAGGUGAUCUUUAUCCUUCUUUUUGUAUUUCUUUAUGAAGAACCUUUCUUCCUUCAUAGUACAUUCUUGUUUCUGUGUAUAAUACUGAUUGGGUUUUUGAUAAGAAAAAAGGAAUACGUUGGCAAUUUUUGUUACCAUAAUGCUAUAUUUAAAAAUGCAUGGAUGAAACAAAAUUAUGGAUCCCUUUUUUAAUCCUUUUCAUUUUGAUCGGGCUCUGAAGGGGGAGUUUUACGAUUGUUCUGGGGAUAUAGAUGAGGAAAUUCGGGUUGAUAAAACAAUGUGGUUAGCAGUGUAUGAGGGAUACAAUGAGAAGGUCAGUGGCUGUAGGGACUUGGGAGUAAUCAAGAGAAGCAGUGAUAAAGUCAGGGGGACGGAAGGGGCCUUUGGCACACCUGACAUACAAGCUGUGAGAAAUGAGCCUGAGGAAAAAUGGGAGGAGAGUAGUUUGGCAAAAUUCAGUCAUUUCUUGGGAUUCUCGACGGAGGGAUUGGAAAAAGGAAAUUAUGAAUUUUUUUAUUAAAAUCAGAAAGAGACGGGAGAAGAUACAUAGUAAAGAGCUUCUGGAAAAGUCAAAGUUCGAAAGGGAGUUAAAGAGAUUGGAAUGUUCUGUAAACUAUGAGGGGGGGAAUAAGCAGAAAGGAUCGGUACAGGGCAAAGGGAGUCAAAUUGUAGUUGCCCAAUGAAGCUAAAAGUCCUGAGCUGGAACGUGAGGGGAGCAAACAAUAGCUCCAAAAGAAAAAUUAUUAAGGCUUUUAUAAGGAACCAGAGGGUGGAUUUACUCUGUAUUCAGGAGGCAAAAAUUCAAUCUAUGUCGGAGGGUAUUGUGAGAAGUUUAGGCUCUGUGAGAUUCUUAGAUUGGAAAGCUAUGAAUGCGGAGGGGGCUUCGGGAGGAAUUCUAAUUUGUUGGGACAAGAGGUCUUUGGACAUUCUGGAUUGGAAGGAGGGAUAUUUUACUUUAUCUUGCAGAUUCAGGAAUGUAGAAAAUGGGGCUGUUUAAAAUGGGGCUAUUUGGGUGUUCACGGGAGUUUAUGGCCCUUUCUCCAAAGUGGAAAGGGAUGAAUUAUGGGAAGAGUUUGGGGCGAUUAGAGGCCUUUGGGAAGACCCCUGGUGCCUGGGGGGGGAGGGGGGGGAUUUUAACAUCACCCUGUUCCAAAUAAGCUCAGCGAUGAGGAGAUUUGCUGAGAUUGUGGAUGAUCUAGGGCUGGUGGAUCUUCCUUUACAGGGGGGAGAAUUCACCUGGAAUGGGUGCCACAAUAACCAAGUUUGGGCAAGAUUGGACAGAUUUCUUGUGUCCCCUAGCUGGUUAGACCAAUUUUGUGGGAUUACCCAAAGUAGGCUGCCACGGCUGAUUUCCGAUCACUUCCCAAUCAUGCUAGUGGGGGGUGGGAUAAGACGAGACCCGACUCCAUUUAGAUUCGAAAAUAUGUGGCUUAAGGUUGAGGGAUUGAAAGACCUUAUGCAUAGCUGGUGGCAGGGAAUUGAAGUCAGGGGCAGUGCUAGCUUUAAAUUGGUUGCUAAGAUGAAGGAAAUCAAGCAGAAGCUGAAAGUUUGGAAUAGAGAAGUUUUUGGGAGGCUGGACUGCAACAAAUCUUCAGCUCUGCAGCAAGUGGAUUUUUGGGACCGGAUGGAAAGCGAGAGAAGCCUAACUGUGGAGGAAACAGAGUUAAAAAAAGAAGCAAAAGAAAAUUACAAAAAGUGGAUGCUUCUGGAGGAAACUCACUGGAGAUAGCUUUCAAGGGAAAUCUGGCUGAGGGAGGGGGAUAGAAACACGGGUUUCUUCCAUCGUAUGGCAAACGCUCAUUGUAGAAACAAUUCUUUGGACAGAAUUAAGAUCAAUGGGGAAUGGCUAUCAGAGGAGCAGGAGGUUAGGGAAGGAAUUGUUAAUGCUUUUCAUUAGCUGCUAUCGGAAGAUACGGGGUGGAAGGCGGACAUUGGGAGGCUUCAGUUUGAUCAAAUCAGUUAGCAAGAAGCAGAGAAUCUGGAGAGGCUUUUUACAGAGGAUGAAAUUCAUGCGGCUUUAAUGGAGAUGAAUGGGGAUAAAGCCCCUGGUCCGAAUGGCUUUACUAUGGCUUUUUGGCAAAGUUGUUGGGACUUUGUUAAAGAGGAGAUCCUAGAAAUGUUCAAGGAAUUCCACGAGCAUAGCUCUUUCUUCAAGAGCCUCAACAAUACUUUUCUGGUUUUGAUUCCCAAGAAAAGUGGGGCUGAGGACCUUGGAGAUUUUAGACCUAUUAGUCUUCUGGGGGGACUUUAUAAGUUAUUGGCUAAAGUGCUAGCUAACAGACUUAAGAAAGUGGUUGGAAAGGUGGUCUCCACUUCUCAGAAUGCCUUUGUGAGGGGAAGACAAAUUCUUGACGCUUCUUUAAUUGCAAAUGAAGUGAUAGACUUGUGGCAGAAACGAAAAGAAAAGGGCCUUAUUUGCAAAUUGGACAUAGAAAAAGCUUAUGACAACAUCAAUUGGAAGUUUUUGUUGAAGGUUUUGCAAAAGAUGGGCUUUGGGUCUAAGUGGCUGGGGUGGAUGUGGAGUUGCUUGUCCUCAGCCAAAUUCUCAGUUUUGGUUAAUGGAGUGCCAACUGGCUUCUUCCCUAGCACUAAGGGCCUUAGACAAGGAGAUCUCCUAUCUCUUUAUCUCUUUGUUAUGGGAAUGGAAGUGCUGGAUGAUCUUAUUAGGAGAGCUGUGGAGGGGGGGUUUUUAUCAGGGUGUAAUAUUAGGGGUGGCAGUAGAUCCUCUUUGAACAUCUCCCAUUUAUUUUUUGCUGAUGACACAAUUGUGUUUUGUGAGGCUGGUAAGGAGCAUCUAACUCACUUAAGUUGGAUUUUACUCUGGUUUGAAGCGGCUUCAGGUUUAAGGAUUAACUUAGCCAAAAGUGAAAUUAUUCCAGUUGGAGAGGUGGAGGAGAUUGAAGAGUUGGCUGUUGAGUUAGGCUGUAGGGUGGGGUCCUUACCCUCUCAGUAUUUGGGACUUCCUCCAGGGGCUCCUAGUAGAGCUCUUUAUAUGUGGGAUGGGGUGGAAGAGAGAGUAAGGAGGAGACUUGUGCUUUGGAAACGACAAUAUAUCUCCAAAGGGGGAAGAAUCACUUUAAUAAAAAGUACUUUGGCUAGCAUGCCAAUCUAUCAAAUGUCUAUUUUCAGAAUGCCCAAAAUUGUUGCUAGAAGGCUAGAGAAAGUGUAAAGGGACUUCCUGUGGGGAGGGGGAAAUCUGGAGGGGAAAAUUCAUCUAGUUAACUGGGAGGUAGUUUGUACAGACAAGGAAAAGGGUGGGCUAGGCCUUAGGAAGCUAGCCAUGUUGAACAAAGCCUUGCUUGGCAAGUGGAUAUGGAGGUAUGCUUGUGACAAAGAUAAUCUUUGGAAACAAGUGAUUAAGGUGAAGUAUGGGCAAGAGGGUCUUGGAUGGAGGCCAAAGAAGGCUAAUGGGGCGGUUGGAGUAGGGGUUUGGAAGGAGAUUCGGAAAGAAUCAGAUUGGUGCUGGGAUAACAUGAUAUUCCGAGCUAGGAAGGGCACCAAGAUCAGAUUUUGGACAGAUGUUUGGUGUACUGAUACAACGUUGUCCCAUUGUUUUCCUCAUCUCUUCGUCAUGGCUGUCCAAAGGAGUUCAAUGAUUGAGGAAAUAUGGGACCAAAAUUCUGGUCAAGAAGGUUGGAACCUAAAUUUUUUGAGGGACUUCAAUGAUUGGGAGCUAGAUAUGGUUGGGGAUUUACUCCAUAUGCUGAGGGGUCAUAGGCCUUCUUUGGAGGAAGACUCAGUUUUUUGGAGGCAAGGAAGAAAUGGUCAGUUUAGGGUCAAGGAAGCUUAUAGCUUGUUGACCAAUCCUAAUGAUACAGGCUUUCCUUCAAGAAGUAUUUGGGUGGUUAGGGUGCCAACUAAAGUCACCUUCUUUGCUUGGGAGGCGACGUGAGGGAAGGUGCUUACUCUAGAUAGACUACAAUGAAGAGGGGUGCAACUUGCGAAUUGUUGUUUUUUAAGUGGGUGUGAAGAAGAAAAUGUAAAUCAUAUCCUUAUACAUUGUAUAGUGGUUAGAGCUUUGUGGGAUAUUGUCCUUGGGUUAGUAGAUGUUAAAUGGGCCUUUCCAGAAACUGUAAAGGAGGUCUUAAUUAGCUGGAGGGGCUCAUUUGUGGGGAAGAAAAGGAAAAAGGUUUGGGACUCCAUUCCGUUGUGUAUUUUUUGGACGGUAUGGAAGGAGAGGGAAUAGAUUAGCCUUUAGGGGGGGGGUGUUGAAUAUUUCCGAAAUUAAAGAAGUUUUUUNNNNNNNNNNNNNNNNNNNNNNNNNNNNNNNNNNNNNNNNNNNNNNNNNNNNNNNNNNNNNNNNNNNNNNNNNNNNNNNNNNNNNNNNNNNNNNNNNNNNNNNNNNNNNNNNNNNNNNNNNNNNNNNNNNNNNNNNNNNNNNNNNNNNNNNNNNNNNNNNNNNNNNNNNNNNNNNNNNNNNNNNNNNNNNNNNNNNNNNNNNNNNNNNNNNNNNNNNNNNNNNNNNNNNNNNNNNNNNNNNNNNNNNNNNNNNNNNNNNNNNNNNNNNNNNNNNNNNNNNNNNNNNNNNNNNNNNNNNNNNNNNNNNNNNNNNNNNNNNNNNNNNNNNNNNNNNNNNNNNNNNNNNNNNNNNNNNNNNNNNNNNNNNNNNNNNNNNNNNNNNNNNNNNNNNNNNNNNNNNNNNNNNNNNNNNNNNNNNNNNNNNNNNNNNNNNNNNNNNNNNNNNNNNNNNNUUUAGGGGGGGGGUGUUGAAUAUUCAGAAGUUAAAGAAUUUUUUUGUCUGUAAUUUGUGGAGUUGGGCCAAAUUGUAUUUAGGUGAGGAGACUUUCUCCCUUAUAGGCUUCAUGGAGUGGGUAGCAUCCACUUGAGGGGAGGUGAUUCUUUUUGUCUUUGUUUUUUGAGGCCCUAGCCGCCUUGUAUACCCCCUAUAUGCUUUGUGGCUUUUUGGCUCUUUAUUAAUGCAAUUCCUUUUACUUAUAAAAAAAAAAGAGGCGUGAGUGGCGGAUUUAUAGACUCAAUUAGGUGAGAAGGGUGUUUGGACCCCUAGUUUUUCUAGGUGUGUAAAUGAUUGGGAGAUUGAGGGUUUGGAGUGAUUCUUGUCAAGGCUAUAAGAUAAAGUGGUUAUUGGAGACAAGGAAGAUAAUGUGAUUCUAUUAAGUCUCUUUACACUAUUCUAGAGUCUGGGAGAUCAUUGUCUUUUCCAGUAGAGGUUGUUUGGAAUGGGUGGGUCCCUCUUAAGGCGUGUUUUUUUGCUUGGGAAGCAUCUUCAGGAAAAGCACAGACUCUAGAUCAGCUUCAGAGGAGAGGAUGGAUUUUGGCUAAUAGAUGUUUUCUUGGUCAUAUUGAAGAGGAAUCAAUUGACCACAUUUUGCUACAUUAUGACAAGGCGAGGAUGUCGUGGGAGGUUUUGUUGUCCCUUUUAGGUGUUUCUUGGGUGUUACCCUCUUUUGUAAAAGAGACUCUGCUAGGGUGGCACGACUCCUUUAUUGGAAGGAAAUGGAAAAAUGUGUGGGAAGCAACCCCUUUGUGCCUUUUUUAGACAUUGUGGAAGGAGAGAAAUAGAAGAUCUUUUGAUAAUGAGGAGCUUUAGGGCCAAGGACUAAGAACCGGUUUUCUUUGUAACUUGAUGUAUUGGACCAAGUUGUAUAUAGGUGAAGGACCAUUGUCCUUAUUCGACUUCAUUGAUUGGUUGGGUUCUUGUUGAGGGAAUGAGUUUUUUUUUGUUCCCCUUGUCAUUUUUUGAUGCCUUUUGGUGACCAUUGUAUAUGUCCUGUGUACUUUAGUGUGCCUCUUUGGCACUUUAUUAUUAUUAUUUGCAUUUAUCUAUAAAUGAUAUUUAGUCCAUUAUUUAUAUGUGGAAUCUGUUACCAUUUUCCUUGUAUGUUGGCUAAAGAUGCAUGGCAUUCACCCCCAAAUUCCCAAGUCGUCUCUCCCUCUCUCACUCACUAUUUUUCCAGGAUCUGUCCUAUUUCAUAUUACAUACUCAUGUUUCUCUCUGUUUUUCCAUGAUCUGUCUUAUUUCAUAUUACAUUGAGCACAUGCUGCAAAAUACCAUCUGGUGGGAAGUUUCUUGUUCAACUUUUAAUGUGCAUUUAUUUGAACAGAAUUUAACUCUCAGUUAGCAUUUAUUUCAACAGAACAUUAAAGUUCUUUUAAAUAAAAAAUGGACAUACAAGAGAAGGAUGAUGAAUCCUUCUAAAUCAAUAAUUGUCUAUGGAGUAAAAUAUGUAAUAGGAGUUUGUCUGUCAACAGAACACCUCCUUGUCAAGGAAAUUUAUUCUCUACUUUGUCAUGAGCUGUCACAUUUUUCUUUAACCAUACAGAGAAAAUGCCUAUAUAUGACUAUUGGAUAUUGGCUGCAUAUAACCUUCUAAUUAGUGUGAUUUACUUCUAUUUCAGCUGUCCAAACCUUUCUAUUAGAGAGGCGAUGGUGACUGAUAUCCUACUAGGAAAGAAUGACAAUGUAGAAGGUGUUCGAACAUUCUUUGGGAUGGACUUCUAUGCUCCUUCUGUUAUUCUAACAACUGGCACUUUUAUGAGCGGUAAAAUUUGGGUUGGUAGAACUUCUAUGCCUGCAGGGAGAGCUGGUGAGUCAGCUUCACAUGGACUCACUGAAAACUUGCAGCGCCUUGGAUUUGAAACUGACCGGUUAAAAACUGGAACCCCUGCACGUGUGGACUGUCGUACUGUAGAUUUCUCUGGAUUGGAACCCCAGCAUGGAGAUGAAGAGGUCCUUCCAUUUAAUUUCAUAUGUAGGUUAACUAGAUUUUUUCCCCUGCAUAACUGGAGUUUUCAAAUAAUGUUUUGCAAUUGACUCAAUCCAAACAUAUUGCAAGCCAGGAAAUUUUCAAUUAGAGGGGCUAAACUAAUAGUAUGAAGAUAAUGUAAUGAUAUUUAUAAUCACACUAUAUGUUCAACCCGAAAGGGAGAGUCUGACAUAAAAGAUCACUAGUACUUCAUAAUUCAUUAUUCAAUGCUUAACCUGGUUAAGUGUGUGAAGUAUUAGGUAAAACAAUUAUUUUUUAUUUAUUUUGAUUUUCUAAUACCAAUUUGAUUCCUAGUUAAUUUUUAUUAUUUAUUUAUUUUUAAAUCUAGUAGUAUGAACAGAUGAAAAUUAUAAGCUAUGCUAACAAAUGCAAGGAUAUAAUAGUUUUAAUACCAUUUUUUUUGUACAGACUUAUUUUAGUGGCAAUAAUAUUAAAAAAUAGACUAUCUAAAUUUAGAAGUUAAAUACGUAAGGAAGUUAGAGAAAUUGAAGAUUGUGGAAAGUGGUAGAAAAGGUGAAAGAAGUAGGAAGUUUAGGUAUGAAAAUGACAUUCUUGUUAUUUUGUUUUUCUUUUAUUGUUUUGAAUUAGAUGAAAAGUGAAAUUGAGGUGUUUGUUUUCUUACAAUUUCUUAGUCUUCCUAUCUUUGUUUCUUUUUCUUAGAGUUACAAAAGAUUUUUUUUGAUGGGUAAAUAAGGAUUGUAUUAAUAAGAAAUGAGGUAUACAUGGCGUAUACAAAGUAAACAAAAGACCAAAAAAGAGGUGCGAAGACAAAAAAAACCAGUAAGUUGCAAAUGAUAUGCAGUUUUCCUUUCUUAAAGUAGUGAACUUGUAAGAGACAUUUACUUAUGGGGGACAUUGUUUUUAGAAUUAUGAGCUUGUAAGAGACCUUUUCUUUCCUAGCAUUGUAAACUUGUAGGAGACAACUUAUUUUCUGUUAUUCCCUUUUUAACCCUCCUAAUUUUUCCUGUUUAUCCUUAUUUGUUUUGUUUUUAUUUCCUCAUUUACCUAUUUAAAACCUUAUCUUAUAACAUUUGGGGGCCACGGGGAAAUAUUAAAAAAUUUUAGGCGGGAAUGGGGUGGACUGCCAAGUCGCUCCCCCUGUUCCAUACCUACUGCAAGGGCUUUGGUUGACAUUGCUUUUGCUUUUCGUCAGUAGAAGCUAUUACUUCUAGCUGGCUGGACAGGUUGGUAGUUUGAGUUUGUAUUGCAAUAAAUGCUAGAAAUUCUUUAUUUAUUGUCUAUUUGGCAAAAAGCUUUUUUAGUUCUCUUGCAACCCUGAAAAAUAAAGCUACAUUUAUGUAUAAAUAAAUAUGUUAUAAAAAAAAAUCAGGUUUUUACACAUAACAAACAUAUAUUUGCAAAAGGAAAAAGAGGACCAAAAGGAAACCCUAGACAAAAUUUAGCAAAAGAUAACUAAAGUUGUGAUUUGCAUAAAAUUUUGAUUACCUCAAAUGAUUAAGAUUGUGAUCAAUAAAAAAAAAAAAAAAAUCAACUCAAAAUGAACAAAGAGAAAAUGAGAGAAAAAAUGACAAGAAAGAAAAAAAUGUGUUUAGAUGAGAUAUAUGGAGUGACGUUACAAGUACCCUCAUUACAAGUUAUUAUUUUGAUAGGGAAAUAUCUAUUGUAUUAAUAGCGCUUAACAAAGAGUUCACUUAAAUAGACAUGGUGUAUUCAAGGGCACCAAAAGGUCAUACCUAAUGGUAGAAUAUACAAAAACAACUCCUAUCCACUACAUAGAGCUCACCCAAUCAAUAAAGUCCAACAUGGACAAAGAAUGGUCUAUAAUGUACACUUUAACCCAUUCCAAAAAAUUAUACAUAAAUGAUUGUUUGAUUACUUGAUAAGCUUUUUU